CGCGGCACCCCUGUAUUUGGAUGUGUCAUGGCAUUCUUCGGACGGUUGUAGCAUUUGGUUUUGAUUCCGAGCUAUUAUUCGGUCAGUAUAGUCGUUUGGGCGGCCAUGACUCUGUGUUGGAGCGCACUUCCUAGAUCCGUAGAUGGACCUGGCCAUACCGGAUUUUUUGUGCAGGUCUUCACGUAAAUCAUGCGCUGACUUGUGUGCGACAUUGUUAGCCACACUAUCGCGGCCACGGGGUGGUCGAUCCGGCUGAUCGGCCAUUUUAUUCUUCGGCUGAAUGGGCUCUAAAGCCUCGUCGUCGAAUUCAGGCAGCAGCUUGCGCUUUGGAUAUCUCUUUGUGUGGCGACUGCCGCCGUACUUUUCUUCAGUGUCAAGCACUUUGUUCCAUCUGCUGUUGAGCGUAUUUUGCGCGGCUUUAAGCCUUUGCUUCUGCUUCUUCAGGCUCCUCGCGGUGGAGAUAAGCCUUCUAUGGAGGUUCUCUUGUUCCAAGUGUGUUUCUGGGAUGAUGUGUGCAUUGUCGUCCGGACUGUUCUCCUCUCCGGAGACAGGUUGAUGAGCUUUACCCUCGACGUCGCCGUGAUUGGACAGCGGCUCCCUACUAUGUUCUCCGUCCGCUGGCUCAUCCCGCUCCAUCGCUGGGUCCAUGUGGUCGUCGUUUCCUUUGGAGUUGACCAGUGUAUUAUCGUUGUUUUUGCUGAGGCGGGAUUUGGAGCGGCGCCUACGUCGUCGCUUUGGUUGCUUCUCAAGGGGACUAUCCUUUGCUGCAUCCUCCCGUUCCUCGCCGUUGUUUUCUUUGGGUGUAUCCACCAUGUAUAUAUCGUGUGAUGAAGUGGUUGUCCAGCGUUGUAACACCCCGGAUGUAACUUUCCCAAUUUGUACUCCAACUCUUGCCGUUUCCGGCUUUAAGUUAAUUUAUUUUCUCGGGUUUGGGUCUUUGUCUCCAUGCAUUAUUGUCUUGUCAUGCAUCUCAUAUCAUGUCAUCAUGUGCAUUGCAUUUGCAUACGUGUUCAUCUCAUGCAUUCGAGCAUUUUCCCCAUUGUCCAUUUUGCAUUCCGGCGCUUCGUUAUCCUCCGGUGGUCAUUUCUAGCUUUCUUUUGUGUGUGGGGAUUAAACAUUUCCGGAUUGGACCGAGACUUUCCAAGCGGCCUUGGUUUACUACCGGUAGACCACCUGUCAAGUUUCGUGCCAUUUGGACUUCGUUUGAUACUCCAACGGUUAACCGAGGGACCGAAAAGGCCUCAUGUGUGUUGCAGCCCAACACCCUUCCAAUUUGGCCCAAAACCCACCAAAACCAUCUCCAUCAUCUAGAGCGUUCGAUCACGAUCGCGUGGCCGAAAACCGCACCUCAGUUGGACUCUCCUAGCUCACUCUAUGCCUAUAUAAAGGUCUCUCCCCGAAAAUCCCGGAUCCCCUCUUUCGCUAACCCUAGAUCCACCCUCUCGCCGCACCAGACAUUGUCCGUCUGGGCCGGACGUUGUCUGCUCACUGCCACCGUCCAACCGCGCCGUGCCACGUGUCCCGGGCGGGCGCCCACAUCGCCGCCGCCGCGCCGGCCCGCCCGAGCCCACGUCGGGCCCCCGUGGCCCNNNNNNNNNNNNNNNNNNNNNNNNNNNNNNNNNNNNNNNNNNNNNNNNNNNNNNNNNNNNNNNNNNNNNNNNNNNNNNNNNNNNNNNNNNNNNNNNNNNNNNNNNNNNNNNNNNNNNNNNNNNNNNNNNNNNNNNNNNNNNNNNNNNNNNNNNNNNNNNNNNNNNNNNNNNNNNNNNNNNNNNNNNNNNNNNNNNNNNNNNNNNNNNNNNNNNNNNNNNNNNNNNNNNNNNNNNNNNNNNNNNNNNNNNNNNNNNNNNNNNNNNNNNNNNNNNNNNNNNNNNNNNNNNNNNNNNNNNNNNNNNNNNNNNNNNNNNNNNNNNNNNNNNNNNNNNNNNNNNNNNNNNNNNNNNNNNNNNNNNNNNNNNNNNNNNNNNNNNNNNNNNNNNNNNNNNNNNNNNNNNNNNNNNNNNNNNNNNNNNNNNNNNNNNNNNNNCCCGUGGCCCAGGGGAGCCGCGCCGCCCGUCGCCGCGCCGCUGUGGGACACCGUCGCCGCCGCCGCCACCAACCCUCGAUUCCGGCGUCCUCGAGUUCUACUACGGCGAAACCCCGGCGGUCCUCAGUUUCCGCGCUUCGGAUCUGAGAUCUGUUUUUUUAGGGUUGACUUUUUCUCAUAAAACCCUAAUCCAUAUGCUCAUGUUCAUAGCCUCGUAACUUUGCAUCCGUAACUCCGUUUUGGACAUAUAGCAUAUCAAAAUGUUCAUCUCAUAGAGUACAUCAUUUCGUUCCACUGCAUCAUUUUCAUUUGAGUUCAUCUUGACGCCCGAAAUGCUGUUAGAAGAGGGCUACUUGAGAUAAUUGUCAGAUCUGCUACUCCAUUUAGCUAUUUGUCAUUUUUGCCAUGAUUAAUGUGUGCAUGAUAUGCCCAUGAGUUCUACAUAUGUUUUGUUAAGGGUUUUGUCAUCUUUCCAGAGGUGCAACCCAUGUAUUUUUGUGAUGUGUGUGGUGACUAGCACGAGCUUGCAAAGUGGUGCACUUGGUAAUUCUGAUUUCAGGGACUUAGCAUUUCCACUAAGUCCUUGAGCUGUUUAUCUCAUAUGACCAUAUGUUCAUGUUGUUUCCUAGUGAUCCGUGCCUCUUUUGAGGAUGAUCAGUAAGGAUGUUUUGUUAAUCUUGUAGUGCUCUAUCCAUCCAUGUCUUUGUUUGCAAUUAUGGAGCACCCUAGCUUGAGUCAAUAGAGCUCUAUUUUUGCUACUUCGUGAAUCUGGGCAGAUUGUCAACUUGUUUGCAAUUUGGCCAAUGAUGUUGUAGUUGAUCCAUGCAUGCUAUGCUAUUGUUCUUGCCAUUUCUAGCUUGCAUUUUGUGUAUUCUUGAUGGAUGUAUACUUAUCUUAUCAUGACUUGCACCGUGGUGAGUGCAUCGAGCUCGUAAACAUGCCUACUUGAGAUAUGUUUCAGCAUGUGCCGGUUUUCACCAAGUCUGAGAACUGAUUAUGUUUUUGCUAUGUUCACAUGCUUGCAAUUGUAUUUUCUGAUCCCUUUUGGCUCAAGGUCACUAAGGGACUUUAGUUAAGAUCUUUGAGUAGCUCCAUGCCAUGCUUUACUUUGCCAUGUUCAAGUCCUGUAGCAUGUAGUUUUGUUGCUCCGAAGAGUGCUAUCUGAUCUGAAAUUCUAGACAAGUGUUAAUUUCACUAAGUCUGAAAUCUGUUUGUCAUAUGCAUUUUUGCCAUGCUUGUUUGAACCUGUUAAUGGAUGAAUUGGCCGUAGCUCAGUGCUAGACUUUUGUUAAGCAUCAUGAAUGCAUCCCUGCCAUGUAUUUUUAUGCCAUGUUUGGGUGCUGUAGCAUGUUUAUCUUGUUGCAUUUAGAUGGCUACUUGCUGUAAAUCGCAGACCGGUAUCAUAUUUGAAUCGCUUGCCAUUUCCUAACCGUAACUCCGAUUCCGGCGUUCUUUAUAUCGUUUUCAAGCGAUUUCAUCUCAUCUUUCCAGUGGCACACUUGGAUUCCCAAGUUGAGGCCAGGUUCAUGCAUUCCUUGUCAAAUCUUGCAUAUGCAUCCCGCAUCGCAUCCCGCAUAGCAUAUCAUCUUUGCAUCAUCUUGUUUGAUCCUUGCACGUGGUUGAUUGUGUCCUUGUUGCUUGUUUGUCUUGUUUGGGUAGAGCCGGGAGACCAGUUCGCUAACGAGGAGCCCGUUGAGUUUGCUUUCGAGGAUCCAGUCAACUCUAACAACUUUGCAGGCAAGAUAAUCAUACCCUCGAAAUCACUACUAUCUUUGCUAUGCUAGAUUGCUCGCUCUUUUGCUAUGCCAAUGCUACGAUGCCUACCACUUGCUUUCAAGCCUUCCAAAUUGCCAUGUCAAAACCUUUAACCCACCAUGUCCUAGCAAACCGUUGAUUGGCUUUGUUACCGCUUUGCUCAGUCCCUCUUAUAGCGUUGCUAGUUGCAGGUGAAGAUUGGAGGCCGUUCCUUGUUGGGAACAUUUAUUUACUUGUUGGGAUAUCAUUGUAUUAUCUUGUUAUCUUAAUGCAUCUAUAUACUUAGUAAAGGGUGGAAGGCUCGGCCUCUCGCCUAGUGUUUUGUUCCACUCUUGCCGCCCUAGUUUCCGUCAUAUCGGUGUUAUGUUCCCGGAUUUUGCGUUCCUUACGCGGUUGGGUUAUAAUGGGAACCCCUUGAUAGUUCACCUUGAUUAAAGCUUUUCCAGCAAUGCCCAACCUUGGUUUUACCAUUUGCCACCUAGCCUCUUUUUCCCUUGGGUUUCCGGAGCCCGAGGGUCAUCUUAUAUUAACCCCCCCCCCCCCGGGCCAAUGCUCCUCUGAGUGUUGGUCCAACUCGUCAGCCGCCGGUGGCUACCAUGGGCAACUCUGGGCUGGCCUACCGGAAGUUUAGACAAUCUGAGUGUGCCCUGAGAAAGAGAUAUGUGCAGCUCCUAUCGGGAUUUGUUGGCACAUUCGGGUGGUGUUGCUGGUCUUGUUUUAACCUGUCGAAGUGUCUUGAAGAACCGAGGUACCGAGUCUGAUCGGAACGUCUUGGGAGGAGGUCUAUUCCUUCGUUGACCGUGAGAGCUUGUCAUGGGCUAAGUUGGGACUCCCCUGCAGGGAUUUGCACUUUCGAAAGCCGUGCCCGUGGUUAUGGGCAGAUGGGAAUUUGUUAAUGUCUGGUUGUAGAUAACUUGAACCUUAACUUAAUUAAAAUGAAUCAACAGUGUGAGUUACCGUGAUGGUCUCUUCUCGGCGGAGUCCGGGAAGUGAACACGGUGUUGGAGUAAUGCUUGCGCAGGUUGUUCUCUAGUUUCUCGCUCACGCUUUGCCUCCUCUUCUCGCUCUAUUUUGCGAACAGGAUAGCCACCAUAUUUGCUAGUCGCUUGCUGCAGCUCCACAUAUUUACCUUACCUUACCUAUAAGCUUAAAUAGUCUUGAUCGCGAGGGUGCGAGAUUGCUGAGUCCCUGUGGCUCAUAGAUUACUAUUACACCAGAUGCAGGGCCUGAUGAUUCUGCUCCAGGUGACGCGCUUGAGCUCAAGUGGGAGUUUGACGAAGACUCUCAACGUUACUAUGUUUCCUUUCCUGAUGAUCAGUAGUGGUGCCCGGUUGGGGGUGAUUGAGACCGUGUCGCAUGUUGGGUUAUCUUUUAUUUUGGCGCCGUAGUCGGGCCAUGAGUGUUUGGAUGAUGUAAUGUUAUUUAUGUACUUGAUUGACGUGGCGAGUGUAAGCCAACUAUGUUAUCUCCCCUUUUAUUAUCUAUAUUACAUGGGAUGUUGUGAAGAUUGCCUAACUUGCGACAUAUGCCUUCAAUGUGAUCAUGUCUCUAAGUCGUGCCUCGACACGUGGGAGCUAUAGUCGCAUCGAGGGUGUUACAAGUUGGUAUCAGAGCCUUCCCCGACCUUAGGAGCCCCAUUGCUUGAUCGUUUUUAGCGGCCGAGUUGUGUCUAGAAAAAAUGUUUUGAGUCAUUAGGAAUUAUAUAUCGGAGAGUUUAGGAAUUCUUUUUACUUGCCAGUCUCCUCAUCGCUCUGGUAAGGCAUCCUGACGUAGAGUUUUGACUCUUCUCUUCUCAAAUUUCACUAAAAAAAAAUUUAGGAUCACGCGGGUAUCUUGGAAUCGUUCCGAUGGUUUUAUGAUGAGAACAUUGUCUUGAUGCCUCCUGUUAGGGGUUUUGUGGAAGUGUCCCGGGGAGUUGAGCUCUGAGGUGUUGUCGUCAUAAUUUUAUCGUUGCAAUUCUGGAAUACCUGAGUUUAGUACGCCGACAUCGAAAAUCUCUUUUAUGCAGUUCGUUGGUGAGAUAACCUCGACGCCACCCAGUAUUGGGGCGGGAGUUUGGGAGUAUCGCCAUAACUUGUAUAACGGAUGCUUUUCGAAGGUUGAGGUAGAUGGUUUCCGAAGGUUUCUUGGUUAUGUGUUGAAGGAUGGAUACAGCUGGAUGUAGGAUUUGCUAGUUUGGGUGAGAUAUUAUGCUUCCCUUGUAUCCCCAACACCUGAUUGCAUAACCGGAAAGGUUCGGGAGUUUCAUAGGUGGGAAUUCUAGUAGCUCUAGUUCUUCUUCCACGGAUAUUGGUUUGAGAUUGGGAUUUCUUACCGAGUAUUCGUUCUUAAUCCGUACCUUGUUGAUUUAUUUCUCUACCUUAAUUCUAAGUGGCUUCUCAAUUUAUGGAUAUGUGACCAUUUCAAGAGGAAUGUAUUCGUUCAUUUUGUUCGGAUGUGAAGACUAUAUGUUGCAAUUUUCAUUCUGUUGGAUUCAGCUUCAAUAUUUUCCUAUCAAUGUGCUAAUGAUGGUCAACCUCUUCAGGAUGGCUCCUCCAACACGCACGACUCUGAAUCCUGAUCCGCCACCACCUCCACCUCCUCCGGAGGCAUGGCAAGUUGUGAUGGCCGCAACCAAUGCAAACACACAGUUGAUCAUGCAAAUUCUCCAAGAGCGCAAUCAAGGCAACCAAGGGAAUCAAGGCAACAAUCAGAAUCACUUUGCUACACUCAACCAGUUCCUUGCUAAUGGGCCAAAGACUUUCAGCAAUUGUGUUGAGGCAACCGAUGCUGACGAUUGGCUUGUGGAUCUGUGCAAGCAUUUCGAGUGCAGUAACGUCAGGCCUGAGGAUUUCGUCAAGUUCGCUUCCUUCCAACUCAAAGAUCAAGCUGCAGAAUGGUUCCAGCAGUACAAGGAUUCCAUAGGUGGACGUGUUAUCACUUGGGAUGAAUUCCGUCAAGAUUUCCGAGCUCAUCAUAUCCCUCAGAGCGUGGUUGAAAGAAAGCGUGAGGAAUUCUGCAACCUAAAGCAAGGUUCUUUGUCUAUCUAUGACUACAACAAGUUGUUUCAGAAGCUCGCCCGCUUUGUUAAGCAGGACGUCCCUGAUGAGAAGAGCAUGAUAUACCAGUUCAGGGGUGGUCUCGGAGAAGAAAUUCAGCUAGCUCUUGUUCUUUUCGAGCCCUUGAGAUACGAUGAGUUCUAUAACAUGGCAUUGAAGCAAGAGGCCGCUCAGCUGAGGUGUGAUGCUUCCAAGAAGCGAGUCAGAUAUGUUACUCCCUCUUCCUCUACUCAAGUGGCCAAGCAGCAGAAGUAUUGGCUUCCUCCUCCUCUGUUCCGUUAGCCGUAUCAGCAGAAGAGCAAAGGUGGCAGUGGAUCUUCCCACCCACCCAACCCUGGCUUUCAGAACAAGACUUCGUCUCAACCUCCAAGAUCGAGUGCUCCGUAUCACCGUCCGCUUUCAGAGGUCACGUGCAACAAGUGCCAACAGAAGGGUCACUAUGCCAACAAGUGUUUCAACCAGAGGCGCCUUCCUCCUCCUCCUCCUGUCAGAUCGGCAAGUACAGCUGUGGUCAAGCAUAACCCCAAGUACGCCAAGGUCAAUAUGGUGAAUGCAGCUCAGGCAGAGGAUUCAUCAGAUGUCAUCAUGGGUAACCUUCCUGUUAAUGAUAUUCCAGCUAAAGUUCUUUUUGACACUGGUGCAUCGCAUUGCUUUAUCUCGAGACCUUUUGCAUCUAAACAUGGGUGGUUUUCUCAAGUUAUGCAUAAGCCAUUAGCAGUUGUCUCUCCAGGAAAAUGUUUGCUCGCUAACUACGAGGUUCCGGAUAUUUCUAUCUCGAUGGGUGAUUUCAAGUUUCUGGCUUCUCCAAUGAUCCUUGGUAACUCGGAUAUUGAUCUUAUUCUCGGAAUGGAUUGGCUUUCUAAGCACAAGGCUCAGCUUGAUUGUGCAGCCAGGCAGAUUCAAUUGACUCAUUCGUCUGAGGAUGUAAUUGUCUUUGCCGCUUGUGAUAAAACCAUCCGUCUGUUUUCUCUCAAUGAGAAGGGUGAACUAGAUGCCAUCUCUCAAAUUCCAGUCGUUUGCGAAUAUCAAGACGUCUUUCCAGAAGAGCUUCCAGGAAUGCCUCCGCACUGGCCAGUUGAAUUCUCAUUGAUCUUGAGCCUGGUACGGAACCUGUGUGCAAGCGUCCUUACAAGCUCAGACCUGAAGAGUUGAAGGAGCUGAAGAAGCAACUCGAUAUUCAAGAGAAAAUGGGUCUCAUCCGGCCUAGUUCUUCUCCGUGGGGUUGUGGUGUUCUUUUUGUGAAGAAGAAGGAUGGAACGGACCGACUUUGUGUUGAUUACCAUCCAUUGAACAAGAAGACCAUCAAGAACAAAUACCCACUUCCCAACAUCAACGAGCUGUUCGAACAACUCAAAGGUGCCCAAGUAUUCUCCAAGCUUGAUCUCCGUAUGGGUUAUCAUCAGAUUCGAAUCCGUGAGCAAGAUAUUCCCAAGACGGCUUGCAGGACAAGCUAUGGUUCAUAUGAAUACACUGUCAUGUCUUUUGGCCUCGUCAACGCUCCUCCGAUGUUCUCUCGCAUGAUGAACUUCAUCUUCAACGCCUACACCAAUGACUUCGUUUUGGUCUAUCUCGACGACAUUCUGAUUUUCUCCAAGAACAAGGAAGAUCAUGCCAAGCACUUGCGUCUGGUACUCGAUAAGCUCAGGGAACAUCAGUUCUACGCCAAGUUCUCCAAGUGCGAAUUUUGGCUCGAUGAGGUUCUUUACCUUGGUCAUAUCAUCUCUGCCAAGGGCAUUGCCAUGAAUCCUGAGAAGGUGUCUGCAAUUGUGAAUUGGGAACCUCCUCAGAACGUGAAGCAACUCCGUAGCUUCCUCGGUCUCACAAGCUAUUGCCGAAGAUUCGUUGAAAACUUUUCUAAGAUCGCGAAGCCUCUCUCAAAUCUUUUCCAGAAGCACGUCAAGUACAUUUGGUCUCCGGAGUGUGACAUUGCUUUCAACACUUUGAAAGAGAAAUUGAUCACUGCUCCAGUUCUGACUCCGCCAGAUGAAUCCAAGCCAUACGAGGUCUUUUGUGAUGCCUCUCUCCAAGGUCUUGGCGCAGUAUUGAUGCAAGAGAAGAAAGUUGUUGCUUAUACCUCUCGCCAGUUGAAGCCCAAUGAGAAGAACUACCCGACUCAUGAUCUCGAGUUGGCGGCAGUUGUGCAUGCUCUUUUGACUUGGAGACAUCUCCUAUUGGGAAGAAAAGUGGACAUUUUCACUGAUCACAAGAGUCUCGAGUACAUCUUCACUCAGCCUAAUCUCAACCUCAGGCAAACUCGAUGGGUCGAAAUGAUUCAAGCGUAUAAUCCGAGUAUUGAGUAUACUCCAGGCAAGGCCAAUGUGAUUGCUAACGCAUUGAGCAGAAAGGCUUAUUGCAAUAGCCCAAUUCUCAAGCCUUAUCAACCCGAGCUUUGUGAAGCUUUCCGCAAACUUAAUCUGCAAGGUGUUCCUCAUGGUUUCCUCGCCAACCUUCAAGUCUCUCCUACCUUGGAAGACCAUAUUUUCCAAGCCCAGCUUCUUGAUGCUAUGGUGAAAAAGGUGAAGAUUGGGAUUGCCAAGAGUCAACCCAAGUACAAGUGCUACCGCCUUGAUGACAAGGAUACUCUCUUCUUCGAGGAUCGUAUUGUUGUACCCAAAGGUGACCUCCGUAAAGUGAUCUUGAACGAGGCUCACAAUUCUCUCCUCUCCAUCCACCCUAGGAGCACGAAGAUGUAUCAGGACCUUAAGUAAGUUUAUUGGUGGACUCGAAUGAAGCACGAGAUUGCUCAAUUCGUGAAUGAAUGUGAUGUCUGCAGAAGGGUGAAGGCAGAACACCAAAGGCCAGCUGGUCUCCUCCAACCUCUUGCCAUUCCAGAAUGGAAGUUUGACCACAUUGAAAUGGACUUCGUGACUGGGUUUCCAAAGUCCAAGCGUGGCAACGAUGCUAUAUUCGUUGUCAUCGACAAACUCACCAAAGUGGCUCAUUUUCUGCCUAUCAAAGAGUCGAUCACUGCAGCUCAAUUGGCAGAACUCUAUACCUCUCGGAUAGUCUCUCUGCACGGUAUUCCACAAGUGAUCUCUUCAGACCGUGGCAGCAUUUUUACCUCCAAGUUUUGGGAUUCUUUUCAGAAGGCCAUAGGCACCAACAUCCGCUUCAGCACAGCUUUCCAUCCUCAAACUAGCGGUCAAGUCGAGCGUGUCAACCAGAUUCUUGAAGAUAUGCUCAGGGCUUGUGUGAUCUCCUUCGGCAUGAAGUGGGAGGAUUGUCUUCCUUAUGCUGAAUUCUCCUACAACAACAAUUUUCAAGCAAGUUCGGGCAAGGCCCCAUUUCAAAUUCUGUAUGGCAGGAAGUGUCGUACCCCUCUCAACUGGUCUGAAACCGGUGAACGUCAGCUUUUGGGUAAUGACUUAAUCACAGAGGCAUAGGAAAUGUGCAAAGUCAUUCGAGAUAACCUCAAAGUAGCCCAAUCCCGCCAGAAGAGCUACUAUGAUAGUAAGCACCGUGAUUUGGCUUUCGAGAUCAGAGAUCAUGUUUACCUCCGCGUCUCUCCAAUGAAAGGUACUCAUCGCUUCGGUAUCAAAGGGAAGCUUACCCCUAGAUAGGUGGGACCUUUCAAGAUUGUCAGCAAGAGAGGCGACCUCGCCUAUCAACUCGAGCUUCCUUCAAACUUUGCAAAUGUUCAUGACGUGUUCCAUGUCUCUCAGCUUCGAAAGUGCUUCAAGACUCCUGACCGCACCAUCAACUUCGAGGACAUUGAGCUCCAGGAAGAUCUCUCUUAUCAUGAGCACCCAGUUGCUAUUCUGGAAGAGACUGAACGCAAGACUCGCAACAAGUCAAUCAAAUUUCUCAAAGUCAAGUGGUCACACCAUUCCGACCGUGAAGCUACCUGGGAAUGCGAGGAUCACCUCCGUUCUGAGUACCCGGUGUUCUUUUAGUCCUAGAUCUCGGGACAAGAUCCUUUCGUAGUGGUGGAGUGUUGUAACACCCCGGAUGUAACUUUCCCAAUUUGUACUCCAACUCUUGCCAUUUCCGGCUUUAAGUUAAUUUAUUUUCUCGGGUUCGGGUCUUUGUCUCCGUGCGUUAUUGUCUUGUCAUGCAUCUCAUAUCAUGUCAUCAUGUGCAUUGCAUUUUCAUACGUGUUCAUCUCAUGCAUUCGAGCAUUUUCCCCGUUGUUCGUUUUGCAUUCCGGCGCUUCGUUCUCCUCCAGUGGUCAUUUCUAGCUUUCUUUUGUGUGUGGGGAUUAAACAUUUCCGGAUUGGAUCGAGACUUGCCAAGCGGCCUUGGUUUACUACCGGUAGACCGCCUGUCAAGUUUCGUGCCAUUUGGACUCCGUUUGAUACUCCAACGGUUAACCGAGGGACCGAAAAGGCCUCGUGUGUGUUGCAGCCCAACACCCUUCCAAUUUGGCCCAAAACCCACCAAAACCUUCUCCAUCAUCUAGAGCGUUCGAUCAUGAUCGCGUGGGUGAAAACUGCACCUCAUUUGGACUCUCCUAGCUCCCUCUAUGCCUAUAUAAAGGUCUCUCCCCGAAAAUCCUGGAUCCCCUCUUUCGCUAACCCUAGAUCCACCCUCGGGCCGCACCGGACAUUGUCCGUCCGGGCCGGACGUUGUCCGCUCGCCGCCACCGUCCAACCGCGCCAUGCCACGUGUCCCGGGCGGGCGCCCACAUCGNNNNNNNNNNNNNNNNNNNNNNNNNNNNNNNNNNNNNNNNNNNNNNNNNNNNNNNNNNNNNNNNNNNNNNNNNNNNNNNNNNNNNNNNNNNNNNNNNNNNNNNNNNNNNNNNNNNNNNNNNNNNNNNNNNNNNNNNNNNNNNNNNNNNNNNNNNNNNNNNNNNNNNNNNNNNNNNNNNNNNNNNNNNNNNNNNNNNNNNNNNNNNNNNNNNNNNNNNNNNNNNNNNNNNNNNNNNNNNNNNNNNNNNNNNNNNNNNNNNNNNNNNNNNNNNNNNNNNNNNNNNNNNNNNNNNNNNNNNNNNNNNNNNNNNNNNNNNNNNNNNNNNNNNNNNNNNNNNNNNNNNNNNNNNNNNNNNNNNNNNNNNNNNNNNNNNNNNNNNNNNNNNNNNNNNNNNNNNNNNNNNNNNNNNNNNNNNNNNNNAACCCUUGUCGCCGGCCGCACGAGACGCCACCCGUGCCGGCGUCCACUUCCCCCGCCGCCUCGCCGCUCCACUUCGCCGCCCCGCAAGCCGGCGACCGCCCCGGUGCCCCCUCCGGCCGGCGAGCCCCUCGAUUCCGGCGUCCUCGAGCUCUACUCCGGCGAAACCCUGGCGGUCCUCGGUUUCCGCGCUCCGAAUCUGAGAUCUGUUUUUUUAGGGUUCACUUUUUCUCACAAAACCCUAAUCCAUAUGCUCAUGUUCAUAGCCUCGUAACUUUGCAUCCGUAACUCCGUUUUGGACAUAUAGCAUAUCAAAAUGUUCAUCUCAUAGAGUACAUCAUUUCAUUCCAUUGCAUCAUUUUCAUUUGAUUUCAUUUUGAUGCCCGAAAUGCUGUUAGAAGAGGGCUACUUGAGAUAAUUGUCAGAUCUGCUACUCCAUUUAGCUAUUUGUCAUUUUUGCCAUGAUUAAUGUGUGCAUGAUAUGCCCAUGAGUUCUACAUAUGUUUUGUUAAGGGUUUUGUCAUCUUUCCAGAGGUGCAACCCAUGUAUUUUUGUGAUGUGUGUGGUGACUAGCACGAGCUUGCAAAGUGGUGCACUUGGUAAUUCUGAUUUCAGGGACUUAGCAUUUCCACCAAGUCCUUGAGCUGUUUAUCUCAUAUGACCAUAUGUUCAUGUUGUUUCCUAGUGAUCCGUGCCUCUUGAGGAUGAUCAGUAAGGAUGUUUUGUUAAUCUUGUAGUGCUCUAUCCAUCCAUGUCUUUGUUUGCAAUUAUGGAGCACCCUAGCUUGAGUCAAUCGAGCUCUACUUUUUCUACUUCGUAAAUCUGGGCAGAUUGUCAACUUGUUUGCAAUUUUGCCAAUGAUGUUGUAGUUGAUCCGUGCAUGCUAUGCUAUUGUUCUUGCCAUGUCUAGCUUGCAUUUUGUGUAUUCUUGAUGGAUGUAUACUUAUCUUAUCAUGACUUGCACCGUGGUGAGUGCAUCGAGCUCGUAAACAUGCCUACUUGAGAUAUGUUUCAGCAUGUGCCAGUUUUCACCAAGUCUGAGAACUGAUUAUGUUUUUGCUAUGUUCACAUGCUUGCAAUUGUAUUUUCUGAUCCCUUUUGGCUCAAUGUCACUAAGGGACUUUUGUUAAGAUCUUUGAAUAGCUCCAUGCCAUGCUUUACUUUGCCAUGUUCAAGUCCUGUAGCAUGUAGUUUUGUUGCUCCGAAGAGUGCUAUCUGAUCUGAAAUUCCAGACAAGUGUUAAUUUCACUAAGUCUGAAAUCUGUUUGUCAUAUGCAUUUUUGCCAUGCUUGUUUGAGCCUGUUAAUGGAUGAAUUGGCCGUAGCUCAGUGCUAGACUUUUGUUAAGCAUCAUGAAUGCAUCCCUGCCAUGUAUUUUUAUGCCAUGUUUGGGUGCUGUAGCAUGUUUAUCUCGUUGCAUUUAGAUGGCUACUUGCUGUAAAUCGCAGACUGGUGUCAUAUUUGAAUCGCUUGCCAUUUCCAAACCGUAACUCCGAUUCCGACAUUCUUUAUAUCGUUUUCAAGCGAUUUCAUCUCAUCUUUCCAGUGGCACACUUGGAUUCCCAAGUUGAGGCCAGGUUCAUGCAUUCCUUGUCAAAUCUUGCAUAUGCAUCCCGCAUCGCAUCCCGCAUAGCAUAUCAUCUUUGCAUCAUCUUGUUUGAUCCUUGCACGUGGUUGAUUGUGUCCUUGUUGCUUGUUUGUCUUGUUUGAGUAGAGCCGGGAGACCAGUUCGCUAAUGAGGAGCCCGUUGAGUUUGCUUUCGAGGAUCCAGUCAACUCUGACAACUUUGCAGGCAAGAUGAUCAUACCCUCGAAAUCACUACUAUCUUUGCUAUGCUGGAUUGCUUGCCCUUUUGCUAUGCCAAUGCUAUGAUGCCUACCACUUGCUUUCAAGCCUUCCAAAUUGCCAUGUCAAAACCUCUAACCCACCAUGUCCUAGCAAACCGUUGAUUGGCUUUUUUACCGCUUUGCUCAGCCCCUCUUAUAGCGUUGCUAGUUGCAGGUGAAGAUUGGAGGCCGUUCCUUGUUGGGAACAUUUGUUUACUUAUUGGGAUAUCAUUGUAUUAUCUUGUUAUCUUAAUGCAUCUAUAUACUUGGUAAAGGGUGGAAGGCUCGGCCUCUCGCCUAGUGUUUUGUUCCACUCUUGCCGCCCUAGUUUCCGUCAUAUCGGUGUUAUGUUCCCGGAUUUUGCGUUCCUUACGCGGUUGGGUUAUAAUAGGAACCCCUUGAUAGUUCGCCUUGAUUAAAGCUUUUCUAGCAAUGCCCAACCUUGGUUUUAUCAUUUUCCACCUAGCCUCUUUUUCCCUUGGGUUUCCGAAGCCCGAGGGUCAUCUUAUUUNNNNNNNNNNNNNNNNNNNNNNNNNNNNNNNNNNNNNNNNNNNNNNNNNNNNNNNNNNNNNNNNNNNNNNNNNNNNNNNNNNNNNNNNNNNNNNNNNNNNNNNNNNNNNNNNNNNNNNNNNNNNNNNNNNNNNNNNNNNNNNNNNNNNNNNNNNNNNNNNNNNNNNNNNNNNNNNNNNNNNNNNNNNNNNNNNNNNNNNNNNNNNNNNNNNNNNNNNNNNNNNNNNNNNNNNNNNNNNNNNNNNNNNNNNNNNNNNNNNNNNNNNNNNNNNNNNNNNNNNNNNNNNNNNNNNNNNNNNNNNNNNNNNNNNUGGUCCAACUCGUCAUCCGCCGGUGGCUACCAGGGGCAACUCUGGGCUGGCCUACCGGAAGUUUAGACAAUCUGAGUGUGCCCUGAGAAAGAGAUAUGUGCAGCUCCUAUCGGGAUUUGUCGGCACAUUCAGGCGGUGUUGCUGGUCUUGUUUUAACCUGUCAAAGUGUCUUGAAGAACCGAGGUACCGAGUCUGAUCGGAACGUCUUGGGAGGAGGUCUAUUCCUUCGUUGACCGUGAGAGCUUGUCAUGGGCUAAGUUGGGACUCCCCUGCAGGGAUUUGUACUUUCGAAAGCCGUGCCCGCGGUUAUGGGCAGAUGGGAAUUUGUUAAUGUCCGGUUGUAGAUAACUUGAACCUUAACUUAAUUAAAAUGAAUCAACAGUGUGAGUUACCGUGAUGGUCUCUUCUCGGCGGAGUCCGUAAAGUGAACACGGUGUUGGAGUAAUGCUUGCGCAGGUUGUUCUCUAGUUUCUCGCUCGUGCUUUGCCUCCUCUUCUCGCUCUCUUUUGCGAACAGGAUAGCCACCAUAUUUGCUAGUCGCUUGCUGCAGCUCCACAUAUUUACCUUACCUUACCUAUAACCUUAAAUAGUCUUGAUCGCGAGGGUGCGAGAUUGCUGAGUCCCUGUGGCUCACAGAUUACUAUUACACCAGAUGCAGGGCCUGAUGAUUCCGCUCUAGGUGACGCGCUUGAGCUCAAGUGGGAGUUCGACGAAGACUCUCAACGUUACUAUGUUUCCUUUCCUGAUGAUCAGUAGUGAUGCCCAGUUGGGGGUGAUCGGGACCGUGUCGCAUGUUGGGUUAUCUUUUAUUUUGGCGCCGUAGUCGGGCCAUGAGUGUUUGGAUGAUGUAAUGUUAUUUAUGUACUUGAUUGACGUGGCGAGUGUAAGCCAACUAUGUUAUCUCCCCUUUUAUUAUCUAUAUUACAUAGGAUGUUGUGAAGAUUGCCUAACUUGCGACAUAUGCCUUCAAUGCGAUUAUGUCUCUAAGUCGUGCCUCGACACGUGGGAGCUAUAGUCGCAUCGAGGGUGUUACAAGCGCCCUGUGGGCGGUGGUUCCUGUUUCUCUCCUCCAUCGUCGUACAUACCGUCCAUGUCUUCGGAGUCGAAAUCAAGCAUGUUGGUUAAGUCGUCAACAGUGGCUAUUAAGUGGGUGGUGGGUGGGGAAUGAAUUUCUUCGUCGCCCGCUUCCCACUCAAGCCGGACAUAGUUCGGUCAAGGGUCUCCUGACAAGGAGAGAGACCUCAAUGAAUUUAGCAUGUCGCCCAAGGGUGAGUGCUGAAAGAUAUCCGCGGAAAUAAACUCCAUGAUCGGUGCCCAAUCAGAUUCAAUAGGCACGGACGCAGGCGGUUCAGAGCCUGUGUCCGGGGACGAAUCCAAGGGUCCGGUAACACAGGUCUCGUAGGAGGUGAAGUCAGUAUUCGGCCCUAUCACCGCUGAGUGUGCGGCCUCCGUGGCGGGGUCCAUCCACCCGUCCUCAGACGGCACGAUAUGCUCCGGAUUGUGGGCCGGAGUAGCCACAUGUGUGAUCUCCCGAACACCGUCCGGCUGUAGAGCUAAGUCAUGCUCGUCGUGACUGUGCGGCACACCUAACAUGGGCUCGAAUCCAUCGAAGAUCAAGUCUCCGCGGAUGUCGGCAGUAUAGUUCAAGCUUCCAAACCUGACCUGAUGGCCAGGGGCGUAGCUCUCGAUCUGCUCCAGAUGGCCAAGUGAGUUGGCCCGCAGUACGAAGCCGCCGAAUACAAAGAUUUGUCCGGGGAGAAAAACCUCACCCUGGAUCACAUCAUUGCCGAUGAUCGAAGGAUCCAUCAAGCCUUUACGUGACGGCAUAGUGGAACUCUCAACGAAAGCACCAAUGUCGGUGUCAAAACCAGCGGAUCUCUGGUAGGGGGUCCCGAACUGUGUGUCUAAGGCCGAUGGUAACACGAAGCGGGGGACACAAUGUUUACCCAGGUUCAGGCCCUCUCGAUGGAGGUAAUACCCUACUUCCUGCUUGAUUAAUCUUGAUGAUAUGAGUAUUAAAAGAGUUGAUCUACCACGAGAUCAUAGAGGCUAAACCCUAGAAGCUAGCCUAUGAUUAUGAUUGUUGUUGUCCUACGGACUAAACCCUCCGGUUUAUAUAGACACUGGAGGGGUCUAGGGUAACACAGAGUCAGUUACAAGGGAGGAGAUCUACAUAUCCGAAUUGCCAAGCUUGCCUUCCACGCAAAGGAGAGUCCCACCCGGACACGGGACGAAGUCUUCAAUCUUGUAUCUUCAUAGUCCAACAGUCCAGCCAAAGUAUAUAGUCCGGCUGUCCGAGGACCCCUUAAUCCAGGACUCCCUCAGGCAUCCCCAAGCUGAGGUUCUUCUUACUCCUUAUUCCUUCAUCCAUCGUAACAUCACCCAAAACUUGAAAAACUUCAAUCACACAAAACUCAACAAAACCUUCAUGAGAUUCGUUAGUAUAAUAAAACAAAUCACUACUAUAAGUACUGUUGAAAACCCAUUCAUAUUUUAUUCUUGCAUUAUAUCUACUGUAUUCCAACUUUUCUAUGGCAAAAACUUCAAAGAAACCCAUAGAAUCAUCAAAACAAGCACACAACGCAAAGAAAACAGAAUCUGUCAAAAACAGAACAGUAUGUAGAAAUCUGGAUAUUUCGAAUACUUCUGUAACUCCAAAAAUUCUGAAAAAUUAGAAACACGUGAGAAAUUUUUAUAUUAAUCUUAUGCAAAAAGAAUUGGUAUUUUAUCGUGCUCCUGGUAAAAAUGAGAAUUAUUUUAGUGAGCGCAAAAGCUUCUGUUUUUCAGCAAGAUCAAAUCAACAAUCACUCAACAUGACCCCAAAGGCUUUUCUUGGCACAAACACUAAUUAAAACACAAAAAACACAAUCAUAAUAGUAGAAUAAUUGUGCAAACACUCAAGAACAGAAAGCAAAAUACAAAAAUAAAUUUUAUUCAUUGGGUUGCCUCCCAACAAGCGCUAUCGUUUUACUCCCCCAGGUAGGCAUAAAGCAAUUAUCUAAGUAUUGUAAUCUUUGUUUCUAGAUCCAUAAGAUGCCCUCAUGAUUGAUUCAUAUGGUGGCCUAAUUCUUGUUCUAGGGAAGUGUUCCAUACCCUUCCUUAGUGGAAAUUGAAAUUUAAUAUUGCCUUCUUUCAUAUCAAUCACGACACCAAUAGUGCGUAAAAACGGUCUACCAAGAAUAAUUGGACAAGAUGGAUUGCAAUCAAUAUCAAGAACAAUAAAAUCUAUGGGCACGUAAUUCCUAUUUGCAAGAAUAAGAACAUCAUUAAUUCUUCCCAUAGGAUUUUUAAUAGUAGAAUCCACCAAGUGCAAAUUUAAAGAACAUUUUUCGAUAUCGGUAAGACCAAGCACAUCACAUAAAGAUUUCGGAAUUGUAGAAACACUAGCACCCAAGUCACAUAAAGCAAAACACUCAUAUUUUUUAUCUUGACUUUGAUAGUAGGUUCCCACUCAUAAUGUAAUUUUCUAGAAAUUGAAACUUCUAAUUCCAAUUUUUCUUCCAAAGCUUUCAUCAAAGCAUCAACAAUAUGUUUAGUAAAAGCUUUAUUUUCUUCAUAAGCAUGGGGUGAAUUUAUCAUGGAUUGCAACAAAGAAAUACAAUCAAUCAAAGAGCAACUAUCAUAAUUAAAGUCUUUGUAAUUCAAAAGAGUGGGCACAUCACUAGUUGAAGUUUUGACCUCUUCAAACCCACUUUUGGCAAUUUUCUCAACAAAAUUUCACCCUCUAGAUUAUCGGGACGCCUUCUAGCUAAAGUUGACUCUUCUCCAGUCCCCUUUUCAUCAAUAUUAAUUUUACUAAACAAGGAAUCAAUAGAAGAAACACCAAUCAUUUUAAGAUCUUCAUCAUUUUUAUGAAAGCAAUCACUAGAAAACGUUUUCCCUAAAAAUUCUCUUCUAGCUCUAUGCAUAGUGGUUCUUUUCUUACUUUCAUCCAUAGAAACAUAAAGAGCUUUAAUUGAUUCCUCAACCUUAGGCACAAAAAAUUUCAUCUUGAGAUUUUCCACAUCAUGAGAAAUUAUAUCAACACUUCUAGACAAAUCAUCAAUCUUGUUCAACUUUUCUUCUAUUAUAGCAUUGAAAACCUUUUGAGUGUUAUUUAACAUUAUUCUCAAGAUCAGAUGUGUUCCUAUUAUUAUAAUAAGAAGGAUUACCAUAGAAAUUAUCAUAAUUAGUAGAGGGAUUUUUUAAGCCCAAACCAUAGAGCAAUCGUUCUACGGUAAUUUUCAUUAAUUAAUAUGGUACAAAUAUAUUACAUUCCCUAGCCUGUAGGGUCAACCAAUGCCAGCUCUAGGAAACAUGAAAAAAAUUACAUAUGCUGAACUAUCCAAUUAUUGAUCAGAGUGGCCUUCUCUUGCUUAGCUCUGGUACUUGUAAUCUGAAGGCCUUCCUUGAAAUGAAACUUCCAGGAAUUAAGAUGGAUUGGUGCUUUCCUGAAGAUCUUGUCAUUUCUAGUUACACAAAUGCUCCAACAUCCCAUUAUAACAAUGUCCAUAGCAAUAUCAGUUGGUAGUUUACACAGGGUUAGAAGAAUCUCAUUAAAAGGUGAAAUGCCUCUGUCUUUGUUGGGGAUGACUGUGUUCCAACAAGACCAGGCAAAUUGGCAGUCCCAGAAUAGAUGUGUGAUGGUCUCUUCAGUACUUUCCCCACAGAGAGCACAGUGGUAGUCCUCCGGGUACAUAUUUCUGCGGUGUAGCAUGUUCCUUGUAUUGAGUCUGUCAUGAAGAAGGAGCCAAAAGAAUAUUUUGUGUCUUAGUCGGCAGGCUAUUCUCCAAAGCAUCUUAAAGAUACAGUGAGCAGUGCUUGGACCCAUGAUUGAUUUGUAUAACUUAAUGGAGGAGUAUUUCAUUGUGUUGCCAUCCAAGGACCAGACAUCACUAACAGCAGUGUUAUCUCUGUUCAUGAUGAGGGUUUGCACAGAAUUGAACUGAUUGAAGGCUUGUAGUGAUAAAGGCCAAUGGAAGUGCUCACUGAGAUCCUCAAGCUGUUGAACAUGGGCAAGAGUGGCUUCUUUCUUAAUGGUGAAUGAGUACAACUCAGGAAAUUGAUUCUGGAGAGGGGAAUCAUGCCAUCGGUCUGCCCAAAACCUAAUAGUGUCACCAGGACCAGCUUUGCAUACAUGUAGUUGUCUGAAAGUAGGGAGCGGUUUGAGAAUGGAUUUCCACCAGAAAGAGCCAAUCAUUCUUUCUCCAGGUAGUGAAUUGUGGUAAUGUGCCUCCCAAAUAGUAUUAACCCAAGGAAUAUCAGCCUUGUUUAGAAACUUAUGCAGAAAUUUCAUUAGUAGGGUUUUAUUGUGGGUUUGCAGGUCAAGAACCCCAAGGCUGCCGUGAGACUUUGGUUUGCAAACUUGUUCCCAUGCAAUAAGUGUUGCACCUCUAUCUUGUGUUCCAUAUUUCCUCUAGAACCAGUUCAUGAGGUAGGUGUUGGUUUGUUUGAGCAUAGUUUUAGGAAUCAUCAGAGUGCACAUGCAGAAGGUGGGCAUGCUGGUGAAUACUGAUUUGAUUAGGGUAAGCUUAUCCCCAAAGGAUAGCAAAGUGGAACAGCUCGGUAGCCCGUUUUCAGUUCUUUGUAGUAUUGGCACAAAGUCUUCAAUUUUGGGCUUGACAGUAUAAAGGGGCAGCCCUAGGUAGGUGUGGGGGAGGGAACCAAUCUUGCAGCCUAGGAGGGUUGAUAGCUCUUGCAUUUUCUCAGGAGGAGUGUUGAUAGAGACCAAAGUGGAUUUUGAAUAAUUGAUUUUGAGCCCUGUGAAAUCUGCAUAGUAAUUAAGCAGGUUCUUGAUCUGUUGGGCCUGCAUGAUAUCUGCCUGAGCCAGAAGGAUGGUAUCAUCUGCAUAUUGGAUGAUAGGAAAGUCACGGCUAGUGUUGUGACUUAAGGGGGAGCUGAUAAUGGAGUUGUGCAUGGCCUCAUUAAUCAUGGUCUGAAGGACAUCAGCAGCAAUGACAAAGAUCAAAGGUGAGAGGGGAUCCCCUUGCCUGACACCUUUCUUACAAAGGAAUUGCUUGCCAUGGACCCCAUUAAGCAUGAUAGAGGAAAAGCCAGUGCCAUAAAUCAUCUUAAUCCACUGUAUCCACUUGGCUCCGAAGCCUUUAGCCUGAAGAACUUGAAUUAUGGUAUCAUGACUAAGCAUAUCAAAAGCCUUUUCAAAGUCCAGUUUUAGAAGGAAAAGUUAUUCCCUGCUGUGAAAACACUGGUGAACAUACUCAUAUGCCCAAGCCAAGCAAUCUUGGAUACAUUUGUUAUUCAAGAAUCCAUACUGAUUUUUGUGCACCAGCUUCAGAAUAACUUUCUGUAGUCUAUUGGCCAGGAGUUUGGUGAUGAUCUUCAAAGUAUAAUUUAAUAGAGAGAUAGGCCUAAAGUCUGUGGGGCAGGAUGCAUUAUCAUUAUUUGGGAUAAGAGUGAUGUAUGAAUAGUUAAUACUCUGUAAGUUGACUCUUCCAUCAGGAAAGUCAUUAGGGAGUUUGUAGAAGUCCUGAGAAAUAAUGUCCCAACAGUGUUUGAGAAAUGCAGCAUUGAAACCAUUAGGUCCUGGAUAUUUGUCUAAAGGCAUAUGUUUAAUAACCUUAUCAAUCUCCUCCUUAGUGAAAGGCACUUCCAAGUCUGUAAGAUUAUCCAAUCGGUUGAGAAGAUGUUCAAGAAACAGUGGGUUUUGGGUCUUUGCUUCAGUACCCAUCAUGUCUUUAAAAGCUCUAUACAGAACUGCAGCUUUGGCAUGAUGGUCAUGAUGUUCAAACCCUGAGUCAUCCUUUAGCAUUGCAAUGUAGUUAUUUCUAUACUUAAUGGUGGCUUUUGCUUGGAAAUAUUUGGUAUUAGCUUCACCCAUCUUAAUUUUCCUGAUUGUAGCUCUCUGCUUCCAGUAUUUCCUCUGAUUCUCCAAAGUACAUGCCAGGUGUUCCUUAAUAAUGUCUCUGUCAUUAGCUUCUUUAAUAGAUAAGUUUCUGUAUUCCUCCAAUUGAUCAUAGCACAGUAUUAGGAAGUUGGAGUUAUCAAUAAUCUUCUUCAAGUCUGAAAUCUCCUUUGACUAGUUCUUUAGACCUUUCCUCGAUCUUUUAAACUUGGUAGCAAUCACUUUAGCACUGUCAACUUCAGCCACUGGCUGAGCCCGGAUAGUCUGAACAAUGUCCCUAAAUUGAUGAUGGUCCAGCCAGAAGUUUUCAAAUCUGAAGACAUUAGAUUUUGUAAUGUGAGAGCCAAUAGAUAUCUUAAUUGGGAUAUGAUUUGAUGUAGUUUUAGCAAGAGGGAAUGCAAAAGUGGCAGGGUACUUAAGAGUCCAACUUUCUGAAGUGAAACAACAAUCUAGUUUUUCAAGCAGAGGGGCAUCCUGCAUAUUGCUCCAUGUGUACUUUCUGCCUUUGAGUGGGAUUUCAACAAGAGCUUGUCUACUAGUGGCCUCAUUGAAAGAAAGCAUAUCAUUUAUGUUACCUCCCUGUCUGCUUCAAUUGUGUGGAUACCUGAUGUAGUUGAAGUCCCCCAGGAUAAUCCAUUCAGUACCAUCUUGCAAUUGAGUGUUCUCAAACCAAUCAAGAAAGAGUGCUUUUUCCUCAGGUUGGCAAGGCCCAUAUACAUUUGUGAGAAUCCAAGAAUCUCUAUUAUGCCGAGAGGAAAACUAAAUGGAGAGUGAAAAGGCAUUAGAGUGUAUUAAUUGCCCAAAAAAGACAUUGUCAUUCCAGGCCACAAGAAGACCACCAGAGGCACCAGCAAAAGGGAGGAAUUCGAAUUUGGAAAAUCUCCUUGGACAGAAAUUCUUCAUGUAGAAGGGGUCAAUGAGUUCUCUCUUAGUUUCUUGCAGGCAAAUGAUGGAGCAUUUGGACUCCUCAAUUUUGUUGGAUAGAGCUGACCAUUUCUUGGGAUUGUUAAGACCUCUAAUGUUCCAGUUGAGGAUGUUCCAAUUUCUGUUUAUAACAGGCAUGAGUAAAACCACAGAACUGUGCCCAGAUAAUCAAACAUAGCUGCUCUGUUCAUGGAGAAAUAAAGUGGAUCUCCCAGGCAUUGAUACAAAAGAGAGAUGCUGAGCAUAGAGGAGAGGACCAUAAAGUCUUAAGUACAUAGAGUGCAAAGGAUAACUGACACUGCUAACACAAAAGAAAACUACUCUCAAAUAGCAUUUGGUGCCUAGCCUACACAUGCACAUCUAAUUCUUGUCUUGAGUCUUCUUAGCUCCCUCCAGUGGUGGGCCAUCAAUCUUCCCCUUUCUAUCUCUCUUGCUCAGUAAUUCCUCAGUGGUGUCCUUACAAGAAACCUUGCAAAACGAUGUAUUCAAACUUUUAAUGAUUUUAGCCGAAAUGAUAGAUGGAGCAGCAUGACAGGCAAGACAUUCUUUGCCUUUACAUACAAAUUUCUUGAAACCUUUUGAAAGUUACUGCAACCUACAGCUCCUUCUUACCUCUAUCUCAACUAGUGGGACUUUGUCUUUCCUCUUUCUGUUCUUGUGAAGUGCUGAAGUGGAGGAUGCAACAGUGAGUUCAGUGCUACACUGUUCAUCAGAUGAGGAGAUCUCGACCCCUUGUGCAUCCUGAGAAUGAGAGGUAAGAAUGCAAGCAAGAGAGUUAUCCCUAGGAGGCUAGGACAUAGAUAAGGGACAACAAAAGGUAAAUAUGUUUGGCAAGAGGAAGAUGUCUUGAUGAUAUCCCAAAUAUAGGAGGAAAUGAAAUUAAUAGCCCAUUCAAAUUUAUCAGGUUAGAGAAGGAUGAUAGAUAAGAAAUUGACCCAUUCUGCAGGUACCUGAAUGACUUUGAAAUUAUCUGAAGUGGGGGUGAGGGAGUCCUGGAUUAGGGGGUCUCCGGACAGCCGGACUAUAUCCUUUGGCCGGACUGUUGGGCUAUGAAGAUACAAGAUUGAAGACUUCGUCUCGUGUCCGGAUGGGACUCUACUUAGCGUGGAAGGCAAGCUAGGCAAUACGGAUAUGGAUAUCUCCUCAUUUGUAACCGGCCUUGUGUAACCCUAACCCUCUCCGGUGUCUAUAUAAACCGGAGGGUUUUAGUCCGUAGGACAACAACAACCACAACAUACAAUCAUACCAUAGGCUAGCUUCUAGGGUUUAGCCUCUCCGAUCUCGUGGUAGAUCUACUCUUGUACUACCCAUAUCAUCAAUAUUAAUCAAGAAGGACGUAGGGUUUUACCUCCAUCAAGAGGGCCCGAACCUGGGUAAAACAUUGUGUCCCCUGCCUCCUGUUACCAUCCGGCCUAGACGCACAGUUCGGGACCCCCUACCCGAGAUCCGCUGGUUUUGACACCGACAUUGGUGCUUUCAUUGAGAGUUGUGCCGUCACCAGCAGGAAGGAUGUCUCAUCCCGUCUUUAAAGACGGCACUGUUGCUGAGGGAGCUUUGGCUAUCGGCCAAACACUCCGGCUAGGUGGUUUUCUUAUGACCACUUGUUCGACCGCUGCGCCGAUGAUGACUUCUCGGGUCAUCAAAAGCAAUCUUCAUGUCAACUCGGAACUCGCCGAGCAGUUAGAUCCAAUGGAGCUCUCUUCCCUGAACGAGCUCUUGGAUCACAUCGCCGCCCUGGGAGUCGCUACAGACUAUGAUCAGAUUGGGCCUAAACCUGAUCUGAGAGAGAUCAACUCUCCCCAUGUCACCCAUCACGUUGCAGUGGUGGAGGAACAAUGCGGCAACACUUCAUCUAUCUUAAGGACUAGCUAUGUCCGGAUUCCCGAUCCCUCCAAGCCGGAUACCCGCGGAGGGGAGGACGUCACUCAAGACCUGAACCUAGAGUCAGGCAGCGGGCUAGAUUUAUUGGAAAACAUUCGAGAAUCCAAACUUCCGAGUUCGGAAACUCCUUGGCCCCUGAGUCUCAGAUUGGGUGAGGAUUCGGGUUCAAUUCCACCCACCCACCCAAACAUAAGCGAUCUAUCCCAAAUUAGGCAAGAGCCCGAAGAAACAGUACACCAUUACUGGGCCAGAUUCCUCCUGGUCAUGAACGGGAUAAAGGACUGCCACGACGAAGACGCAAUUUCAUUCUUCUGCAAUAAUUGCACGGACAAGGGAAUCCUCAACGCCAUAAGUCGCCGCGAAAUUAGACACUUUGCCGACUUGGUAUCCAUAGUACGGAAGUACUGUGCGAUGGAAAGCGCCUGGAAAACCGAAAUAAAAAUUUGGGAUAAUCCGGCCCUGAAUACAAACCCAUUCUGAAAUAAAAGGGUGCAUUAUCACAAUACACCUGGGUUAACUACCAAAAAGAAAAAGCCCUCUAUGGGGCAAGGAACCGUACUGGAGGGAUGGCUCAACGGACCCUGCAAAAUUCAUAGUACAGCGGAUGCAAUACCAGCGCACAGCCUUAGAGCAUGUUGGAUACUCCGGCAGGUGGCCAAAAGUGGUGAGGAUCUACUCCUCCCAAAUACCACAGAGCACCAUCCCGUGGAUAACAAUACGGUGUUAACAGUCUUUGAGACCUUCUCGUCAAAUAAUAGACGCAAGCGAACACUCCGCAGCAUGGCCGAAAUCUGCCACGUAGCAGCAAUAAAUCCUUGGAGUGACACGGCUAUUACCUUCAACGCAAGUGACGAACCUAAAUUCCGAACAACCCGAGCACCAGCCGCGCCGGUCCUUAGUCCAAUCGUGGACGGCUUUCGACUCACCAAGGUACUCAUGGACGGCAGCAGCGGAUUAAACCUCAUCUAUGAGGAAACUCUUCAAAAGAUGGAAAUAGACUGGAGCCGCAUUGAGCAAAGUAGCACAACCUUUAGAGGAAUUAUUCCCAGUCGGGAAGCACGCUGUGCUGGGAAAAUCACACUAGAUGUGGUAUUCGGCACACCGGAUAAUUACAGGUCCGAAGAAAUUACAUUCCAAGUGGCCCCGUUCAGCAGCGGAUACCACGCUCUAUUAGGGCGGGAGGCGUUUACAAUCUUCCAAGCCAUACCCCAUUACGGGUACAUGAAGCUCAAAAUGCCCGGGCCCAACGGAAUCAUCACUCUUGCUAGUGAUCCAGACAUAGCACUCCGUGCCGAGAAUAAGACAGCCGCACUAGCCCUCGAGGCACUGUCCGAAGCCCUAGCAGCUGAGGAACUAACUACGCUGCGCUCCACGGUGAACAGGGACGACGUGAUACUCGAUAAAAGAUCCAAGUCCACCUCCUUUAAACCGGCGGACGAAAUAGUCAAAUUCCAAGUCCAUCCAACGGACCCUAUAAAAACAGCUUCCAUCGGGGCACAGUUAAACCCUGAUGUCGAUGCCGCACUGCGAGAGUUCCUACACGAGAACUGGGACAUUUUUGCCUGGCACCCUUCAGAUAUGCCAGGAAUCCCACGUAGCCUGGCCGAGCACAGCCUAAAUAUCCUAAAAGGAUUCAAGCCAGUCAAGCAGGCUCUUCGGCGUUUCUCCGAACCUAAGAGACAAGCCAUGGGAGAGGAACUAGCCAAGCUAUUGGAGGCCGGAUUCAUCAGAGAUAUAAAACAUCCAGACUGGCUAGCGAACCUGGUGAUGGUACCAAAGAAGGACAAAUCCUGGCGCUUGUGCGUCGAUUUUAAGGACCUUAACAAGGCCUGCCCAAAGGAUCCAUUCCCCCUCCCCUGCAUCGAUCAAAUCAUCGAUGCUACCGCAGGACACGAUUCAUUGUGUUUCCUCGACACAUACUCCGGCUACCAUCAAAUUAAAAUGGCAGAGCCAGACCAAGCCGCAACGGCAUUCAUCACACAAUAUGGCCCAUUCUGCUUCAACACAAUGCCCUUCGGGUUCAAAAAUGCCGGCGCAACAUAUCAGCGUAUGAUUCAGACAUGUCUGGCAAACCAGAUCGGCAAAACAGUGGAGGCAUACGUAGAUGACGUGGUCGUCAAAACCAAGCAUAUUGAAUCUCUAGUAGACGACUUAAGGCUCACAUUCGAUAACCUCCGAACAUAUGACAUCAAGCUCAAUCUGGAAAAUGCGUUUUCGGUGUACCAGCCGGAAAGCUCCUGGGAUUCAUUGUCUCCAGUAGAGGUAUUGAAGCUAAUCCGGCCAAAAUCCGAGCGUUGUCACAGUUGGCUACCCCAACAGACCUCAAACAAAUCCAGAAGCUAACUGGAUGCGUGGCGGCUCUAAGCCGCUUUAUCUCCCGCUUGGGAGAAAAGGCCUUACCCCUUUAUCGCCUCCUUUGGCGCACCAAACACUUCGAGUGGACGGACGCGGCCACAGCCGGAUUGGAAGAAAUAAAGGCCAUUUUGGCAACCAACCCGAUCCUGGCCGCACCAAACAUCAGCGAACCAAUGAUGUUGUAUAUUGCGGCAACUCAUCAAGUUGUAAGCGCGGUGCUCGUUGUCGAACGGGAAGCGGACAGACACAAAUUCCCUCUUCAAAAGCCGGUAUACUAUGUAUCCACUGUCCUCACUCCAUGCAAAUCACGGUACCCGCAUUACCAAAAAAUAGCAUAUGCGGUAUUCAUGGUAUCACAGAAACUGCGACACUACUUUCAAGAGUGUUCGAUUACAGUAGCCUCGGAAGUGCCACUUAAUGAUAUUAUCAACAACCGUGACGCUACGGGCCGGAUUGCCAAAUGGGCCAUUGAGCUCCUCCCAUUCGACAUAACAUACAAACCUCAUCGAGCCAUUAAAAUCGCAAGUACUGGCCGACUUCGUCGCCAAAUGGACGGAGGCUGAACUCCCUAAAGAGUAUGGCGCAUACUCCAAUUGGAUCAUGCACUUCGACGGUUCCAAAAUGCUGGCCGGUCUAGGGGCUGGCGUCGUCCUGACGUCCCCAACCGGAGAUACCGUUCGGUACAUAUUGCAAAUAUUGUAUACAGAUUCCAACAAUGCAGCCGAAUACGAAGCUCUGUUGCAUGGUCUUCGGAUGGCAGUCUCCAUGGGCAUUCAACGCCUGGAGGUGCGUGGGGAUUCAAACCUCGCAAUAUCCCAAAUAAAUGGAGAUUUUGACGCCAAGGAUCCAAAAAUGGCGGCCUAUUGAAACGUCGUCCUCAAAAUGUCAGCUCGGUUCGAGGGACUCGAAUUUCACCACGUGGCUUGGGAAAACAACCAGGCGGCGGAUAUCCUCGCCCGCAUCGGCGCAAAACACGACGCGGUCCCUCCCAACAUAUUUCUGGAAAGGCUCUUCAAGCCAUCCGUAGAAUGGGAAGGGGACACCGGUAACAAUAGCCCGGAUCUGGCCAAAAUACCCGAUACCGAACUCUCUGACACAAUCAGAGGCUCCGCCACCGAAAAAACACCUUCAGCCCACGAAAUAAUGGCCAUUAUUGCCCCGUGGACAGAACCAUUCCUGGCCUACCUAACUAGACAGGAACUUCCGGAGGACCAAAAUGAGGCACGCUGCAUAGUGCAGCGAUCCAAGGCCUACGGGGUCCAUGAGGGAGAGUUGUACAAGAAAAGCACUACCGGAGUCCUUCAAAGGUGCAUCUCCGAAGAGGAAGGGCGGAAUCUUUUGGCAGAAAUUCACGCCGGACUCGGCGGUCAUCACGCCGCAGCCUGGGCUCUUGAAAGCAAGGCUUUCCGUACAGGAUUCUAUUAGCCAACGGCCCGGGCAGAUGCACAGGACUUGGUCCAACGUUGCGCCGGUUGCCAGCUCUUCGCAAAUCAAAGCCACAUGCCACCCACCGCCCUCUAAACAAUCCCCAUUACAUGGCCCUUCGCGGUCUGGGGGCUUGACAUGGUUGGGCCCCUUAAAGGGGGAACCCACAAGAAAAAAUACUUAUUGGUAAUGGUGGAUAAAUUCACCAAAUGGAUAGAGGCUAAACCAGUUAAAACAGCCGAAUCCAGACUAGUGAUAGAUUUCAUAUCCGGGGUUGUACACCGUUAUGGCGUCCCCCACAGCAUCAUCACUGAUAACGGCACGAACUUCACGGCCGACGAGGUAAAACUCUGGUGCAGCAAAAUGGGCAUCAAGCUCGAUUAUGCUUCAGUCUAUCACCCACAAACCAACGGUCAAGUCGAACGAGCAAACGGUCUUAUAAUGAGCGGCAUUAAACCCAGAUUAGUGCGUUCCUUAACGGAGUCUGACACGCACUGGGUAGAGGAGCUCGACUCCAUACUCUGAGGGCUGUGGACCACACCGAAUCGUAGUAACGGAUAUACACCGUUUUUAUGGUGUACGGCGCAGAGGCAGUCUUGCCAUGUGACAUAAUUCAUGACUCACCUCGAGUGCGCAUGUACGAAGAAAGAGAAGCCGAGCUCGAUCGACAGGACAGUCUGGACACCUUGGAGGAAGAGCGCGACGUAGCCAAAGCCCGUUCCACAUUUUACCAGCAACAGGCUCGCAGAUACCAAAGCAGAGAAGUAUGGGCCAAAACUUAUAACGUUGGCGAACUAGUUCUAUGCCUGCCGGAUAAGAAAAAGAACAAACUCGAGCCCAAAUGGGAAGGUCCCUUCAUUAUCGACCAAGUUCUGACCGGUGGAGCGUACCGACUGCGGGAUGCAUCGACUAGUCGACUCGAGCCGAACCCAUGGAACGCAGCCAGGCUCCGAAGAUUCUACGCCCAGCACCGGACUCUAUGUUAGUCCCUUCCCUUUGUCCAUUUUCUGCAUAUGCAUCAUCUGUCUUGUUUCCCUUUCUUUCUUUUUCUUAUUAUUCCUCUAGUCCUUCAAGAGUCACCUUGUGCCUCACUUGUACAUUACAGAUGCGCUAGCCGCACUCUCCAUACCUGGGGGCUUCUUUCACAGAAGCUUAAAUUAUUUAUCUGGGCCUCACGCCCAACACAUGUGUUAUACUUCCGCAUGUACCUUUUUUCACCAUUAUAUGCAUCAAUAUGACUUAAGUUUUGGCCAAGCUGGGUUGCCUGGCUCUUGUAUUUAUGCCCUACGUUCCCGUUAAUUCGGCUAGGGCAUAAGGGGAGCACCUCUGCGAUUGUUGCUGGCGGGUCAGCCGGAUGUGUACCUCAGAUUGGGUGAAGCCGGAAGCUAGUGUUCUUAAGGGAAUAUGUGGUCGGUGAACAAAAGAUGACUUUUAUUAUCCAUAUCUGCCCCCAGAUGCUUUUUCUGUGCUUCUUAUCGCAGUCUAGACAUGCACUUUAGGGCAUGCUUACCCAGGGAAAGGAACCCUUAACGAAACUAUUCUCCCUGGAAGAUGUUUCUUACUACCCAUGUAAUAUAACAUAACUAGUUGGGCACUUGUCCGAUAAAGCACUAAUGACCCCUACGCCCUGUCUCCACGCAUACCCCGGUUCUUAUAUAACUAAGCGGGUAUUCGGAUUCACUCCGGACUAUCGGGCCCGGAGGUUGAAGCGAAAAGGUCCGCAACGACAAAUGAUCUACAAUCCGGCUAGAAGGCAUUAUACAUGUCACUUUAAUUACAUAGUCAUACAGACUGACUAAACUCCUCUUCUAUACCAUCCAACAGGCGGUCUAGCUUACAAUCCUGUUGGGAAUACUUUGCGGCUAAUUCUACUUGCCCAUAAACUAAGCUAACGGGGAUCUCUUUUCCGUCGGGCCCCACAGGUCCGACCUCGGCCAUGUUAUUUGGGUCUGCCUUGGUAUACCGAGUCUUCACCAUGGCCCAGGCCUCUCUGGCACCCUGUCGGCACGCCAAUAUCUUCCAUAAUCGGAGGCGCCGCCGUGCUCCCUUGAGCUUCUCCGUAAGCUCUGCAACGCCCUCUGGCAAGGAGACAGAUGGCCACAAAGCCUGGGCAACACCUUGCAUCACCUGCCGAACUUGUUCGUGCAGAUGUGACAGCUCGGACAGAAGAUCACCCGCAGACCCGGGCAUUUCCUCUGCGGGACGACCCGUCAGCAUACCUACAGACAUAACGCUGUUAAUCGACUUCCUCGCCGAACUAUUUUUCAAAGUUCGUUCAAGCACUUACUAAAUAUGACGCGUCGAAGCCGCCGAUUCUCCUUCACGGAAUCCGACAGUUGGGCAUGAACAUCCUUUAGUUCCACGCCCAGCUUGGUGUAGGCAUCUAGGAGAUCAUUCUUCUCCUGCCUCACCCUCGUAAGCACGCUCUCACCGGCCUUCAGCUGACGUUGGAGCUGUUGCUUAUCAGGAUCUACCCCAGCGACAUCUGUAACUUUAUCGUCAGAUCUGCAUAUACGCCGCAUUCUAUAUGAUACUUAUCAUUCGAAGGAUAUAUUACUAGAGGGGGUCUCUUUGGGCUCCCCUGCUACGACCAGUGCGGCCUGAAGUUGGGCUUUGCACUCUUCCAGCUCCUGGGACAGUUGGGUAUUCUUUUCUGUAAGAACCUGCAUAAAAAAUGAUCCUUAAAUUAGUUAUUCUAACUGUUUCAAGUCUCAGGGGCUACUGAUAUAUAUAACCACCAAAUUUUCUCACCCGUAUGUCUUUUAGAUACUGCUCUGUGGCUCUGGCUAGACCAUUUUGAGCAUCAUGGAGGUACGCAUCUCCCGAGUUGAAGGCAUCCAAUGCCUCUUGGGAGAAACAAGCGUCACGAAGAACAGUCCGGCGACGCCUGUGGUUCAUGGCACUUUCCACCUCAGAAUUGGUGGCGGACAAUUUAUCCGCAUCCUCUGUCGGAGGAGCACCCGGCACACGCCUCGUAUUCAUUCCCGCCUCCGAAUCCGGCCUUGGAGCCUGGCUGGUGGAGGCGCGAUUAGUAGCCUCUCCGGAUAUAGUCCGGCGAGUGCUCCUUCUCCUAAACAGAAGGCAUGGGCAUUAAUAUGCUCCCGAAAAUUAUGUCUUGGAAUAAGAGACGGCACGCCGUACCGCUGUGCCGGUGUCUCAAUCCGGACCGCGGGUCUUUUCAGCCUGCCUGGCCCCGCGGCCCCUUGUUGGCUAGUCGCCAUAGGCUCGGCCUUCCUUCUCGAGGACCUCCCCUGCAAAACUCGGUUGUUAUAUGGUAAUCAGAAACACGCAAGGACGGAUCCCUUUUCAAAGUACUGGGAUUUCGGUCUCAGUUACCUGUGAGGCUGGAAGUAGCCACGGGUAAUCGGCCGUAAUGGCCACCAAAGCGUUGUCAUUGCUCAAUUGGUAAAAUACCCCAUCGAUCAGCUCCACAAAUAUGUCCGGAUCCUCCUGGGUGGCCGGGUCCAGGGAUCGUCCAGGGUCCUCGGGUUGUGGAGGGGGGUUGUUUAUCUCCCUUACAGCCUGACGCAGCUCCUGCAUUGAAAUCGCUAGACUGAAUACUUAACUAUGGGAAAAUGAAACGAAUGGGCGAGAAAAAGUCUCCGCUUACCCAGCUCGGAGGAUUGUACAUAGAAAAUCCGCCCUGCGGGUUGACAUGGAGGAAUUCCUCCUCUUCUCCCUUGUACAAAGUGGAUAAGAUCUUUAUUAGAUCAACAACCGAUCCCGGCCCUUUACAGACGUAGCGGGUGGGCGUCAUCCUCCCCAUUGAAAUCCCACAUGGGGUGGCCUCUAUACUAAAGCGGUUGCACCCCCCUCAUGAUACAUAUGGCCAUGACCUCAAUCAUGGUCAAUUCGGAUCGAGCUAAAAAACUUAUCCGGCUCAUCAGGUAAAGGACGUCCCUGUCAUCUUCCUCCAGGGAGCUCCAUGGACGCCAGCUCCGGCACUUCUUCAAAGGAGCGUUGUCGAACUCAGGAAGACCGAUUCGAAUAGGAUCCGGGAUGGGGACGUCUUCUAUAUAAAACCAUUCUGAAGGCCAGUCUUCAGACGUCUUCUUUGGGGUUCCGGACAGAUAUCCGGUCCCGGCAAUACGCCACACUUCGGCUCCGCCCACUUGAUAUAUUGACCCCUUCUGGGAAUGGGGCACAAGGCAGAACAACUUCUUCCACAGCGCGAAAUGAGCCUCACAGCCUAAAAACAGCUCGCAAAGGGCUAUGAAUCCCGCGAUAUGCAAUAUGGAGGCAGGCGUAAGAUUGUGUAACUGGAGGCCGUAGAACUCCAGGAGCCCCCGGAGAAAUGGAUGAAUUGGAAAUCCAAGCCCUCUUACCAAAUGAGGGACAAGGCAUACCCGCUCUCCCUUCAAGGGAUUGGGAAGGCUCUCCGCUUGCUCUCCGCCGUUAUAGGUGGCGAGCCCGGCUCGAACCGGGACCAUGUACGCUGGGGGAAGAAAUCCCUUGGUCUGAAGCAUCACUAAUUUGCUGUGCGGGAUAGAACAUCUCCCCCAAUCUCUAGGCUUGGGGCUAGGGGAGCGAGAGGAGGAGCUGCGUCGACUGGCCAUGAUGGAAUGGAUCUCUGUCGGGUGCACUCCGAUGAAGGCUCGCCAAGGGAGGAUGGUGUGAUUUGGAUCUGAAUCCUCGUCUUUUUAAUAGGUGGCUCAUUCGCACAGCUAGGGGGGUAAACGUAAAAACACCCUGGCCCUUCACAUUCACUCGACACGUGUAAAGUGGCCAUUAUGGGGCGUGGAAGCCAAGGAGUGCAACAUUCACAAGGGGCCAGACACUAUUUCAACAGGUACACGGAAUUUGGAGAGGAACCCGCCUUGCAAUGCCGAAGACAAUACUACGCGCCGGACUCGCCGCCAUUGAAGCCUGGUUCGGGGGCUACUGAGGGAGUCCUGGAUUAGGGGGUCUCCGGACAGCCAGACUAUAUCCUUUGGCCGGACUAUUGGGCUAUGAAGAUACAAGAUUGAAGACUUCGUCUCGUGUCCAGAUGGGACUCUACUUGGCGUGGAAGGCAAGCUAGGCAAUACAGAUAUGGAUAUCUCCUCCUUUGUAACCGACCUUGUGUAACCCUAACCCUCUCCGGUGUUUAUAUAAACCAGGGGGUUUUAGUCCAUAGGACAACAACAACCACAACAUACAAUCAUACCAUAGGCUAGCUUCUAGGGUUUAGCCUCUCCGAUCUCGUGGUAGAUCUACUUUUGUACUACCCAUAUCAUCAAUAUUAAUCAAGCAGGACGUAGGGUUUUACCUCCAUCAAGAGGGCCCGAACCUGCAUAAAACAUCGUGUCCCCUGCCUCCUGUUACCAUCUGGCCUAGACGCACAGUUCGGGACCCCCUACCCGAGAUCCGCCGGUUUUGACACCGACAGGGGGCAAAAUGCUUCUUCCAGAUCAGAGCACCUUCUCUGCCCAAGAGUGCUUCUUCAUCAAGAUUUGAUUUGCGGUCCCUGGUACCUUAAUCAGGGUUUUGAUCCAUGUCUAUGCUCUGAAAACCUGGGGAUGAAGAGUGUGCCUGAUUAGCAUAAAUGGGCAUGGGAAAGCCAAGAGGAGCAGUCAUAACUGAAAGAGACAAUUCACCAUUGUCAGCUUGCACUUUAUUAGAUUCUUUACCAGUAACCUCAGCCUGGGCAGCCUUUAACUGUUGAGUCAGCUCUUCUUUCUCAGGAGAUGUUGCAGCAACCCCUAAAAUGGAGGCCUCAGUUGCUAACUUGUUGAUUGUUCCACAAAGAGUGGAAGGUGAGUGUUGAUGAAUAGUAGCAAGGAAUUCAUUAAGCAUAGGAUCAUCUUUUGAAUCCCUAUAGUAAGUGUCAGUUUGAGGGAGAAUGGCCUCAAGAUGUGGAUCAGGCAACAGAUUCAGAACUGGGGCUACCUCCAUGUCUUGUUGAUGGGCCUCCAUAAUAGGAAAGUGGGCUGCCUCCAGAACUGGCAGGUAGGCUUCAUUGUCUUCCAAGAGCUGUUGGGCCAAGGGAGCAAUAUCUGGCCCAUUGGGAAAAGCAUCCAGGUUUAAAUCAGGGAUAUGUUGCUCGUUUGGCGCCAAAGGGCCAUUGGCAGAUGCAUCUGUACUAUGACUGUUGUCAGAAGGUGCCAUGGAUGCAGUGAUGCUGCUGUGAGCCACAAGAGCCAGAUUCUCCUCCUCCAGAGGUUCCAUAAUUUCUUGCAACUCCAAGAAUUCACCAACAUGAAGUUCAAUGUCUACUUCUUGGGGCAUGGCCCAGUGGCCCCAGCCAGGUAAAUCCCCUUUCUCAUCAUUCUCAUUGUUAUUCUCAUCCUCUGGUUGUGCAUUCAUAGCAACAUCAACAAGAACAUUAAGGCCAAGCUAUAGAUUCAGGUGGUUGCUUGGAGGUUGAAAGUUUCCAUGAACAUCAUAAUUCUCAUGCUGCUGAAGAGGGCCAAGGAAAUGGUUAUGUUGAUUUGGGUGAAAAUUAGCCAAAGGAGGAGCCGGCUGUGGAUUUCCAUUAGGAUCAAUAGGGUCUUCAUCUAGUGCCUCAACACCCAAAAUCUGCUGCUGUAAAAUAACCACUGGCACUGUUAAUGAAUCUGUGAAAAUCAUAGCCCUCUCCAAAGACAAUGCUAGAUGGGAUGUCCCCGAAUUCUUCCACACGCACUUUGACCAUGAGGUUAGCCCUAGUACUCCGCACUCUGUCCCAGCUUAAGAAUUUUCUAAACUUACUAACAUCAUUGUUGACCUCCUGAAUAUUCCUCCUAUCAAAAGGAUAGCCACACAACAAGAUCCAGACAUCUCUGUUCAUCACCAACUUUCUCCAGUUCAAACCCUUGUUGUGCGGUUGGAUGAUUACAUGAACAUCAGUAAAUUGAUGCUGUCCAUUAGAAACCAGAGCAUCUCAGUCAAAUACGCUAUUGAGUUUGAUGUACGCUUGACCAAAAGGACAGGGCUCAAUCUUUGAGAAACCAAUUUGCUUAUCUGUGAGAAAAUCAGAAAGUACCUCUCUGACGGUGUCAAAAGCAGCAGGGAGAUUGGGCAUGUGAACGAUAGAUGCAAUCGCCCAUUCUUCAUGAGUGGCUGGCGCCGCUCCAUUGAUGAUCUUGAUCCUUGCAGGUCUACCCUCGACUUCAAUACUGUGAUGAUUGGGUGGGAGGAACGGCGUGGGAUCGAAGGGGAAGGUGGCCAUUGCCGCAACACUACGACUCUGCGCCGGUGGAGGAGUGGAUGGGGUGGGGAGGGAUGUGGAGGGGCGGGCGGUCGCUGCUUGGAGACGAUGAGAGAUUAGUGGAGAAAUGCGAUGAAUGCUACCAACUCGGAGUGAAAGCAGAAGCGAAAUAACUUGAUUGGACUGAUUGGGUCGGCAGAGCGACGACGUGAUUAGUCUCAAUCACGGGAACAGUGGCGGGUUGCCUUGGAAUUGCGAUCACCGGGAGAUUUGGUGGGUUGGGCUCCUUGAUUGGGCUUCGACUGGCCAGUGCAAAGCAGUCCUUCUCAAUAUGUCCCCACUUUUUGCACUGUCGACAUUUGAUACGAUUUGUGUAGGCAGGCCUGUUGUGGCCCGUUAAGAGGCAGCAUACACAAAAUGCAGAUGAUCCCGCCCUGCGAUCAGAAACUGCUGCAUUGAUUGGGUUAGUAUUCGGGUGAUAAUGAGCCAAUGUUGAUGGAUCCGUAGGAUCACGCUCCUGACGAACCGGCGAAGAUCUGAGAUUGGAAAUGCGCGAAUCAUCGAAAGUAGCAGGAGAUCUAAGAGCUUGAAGGUAAGAUUUUCUAGGAUGCCUACAAAAGAUGUGGGUCCAUUCAUCCUCCUUUUCUUGUAAGUAUUGAUCAAGCUCGCAACUGGAGUUCAGUCCACCACUACCCCAGAGCAAAAAGUUUACAUUGAGCAUGGGAAUAGAGAUGUUUCCACCUUUGAUGAUGGAGAAACCCACCUCCUUAGAGGAGACCGAAAACUUAAAAGACCAAUUUUGAAGACGUUGAACACGCAAGAGAGAUGCUCUACCCCCAAAACAAGAUAGGAGAAUGGUGCUUAUAGAUUCCUCAGUGAGCCGGAUCUUGGAUCGUGUGAAUUCAGCCACUAGGAGGAAUUCCUCCAUCUCCUUACCAUCUUCGAAGUUAAUGGGGACACCACAUUUUCUCCAAACCUCAGCGGCAAUAUCUUGGCCAAUGUCGAAGUUAAUAUCAGCGAGCGCCAUGAUGGAGAGGAGGUUGAGGAUCGCCGGGGACCGGGCCGGGGAUGCCGGAGUGGGGGUGGACGCCGGGGCCGAAGUGGCCACCGGUGGCGUGGAGGCCCUAGGAGCGCCUAGGGAGAGAGGGAGCGCCUAGGGAGAGAGGAAAAAGACCUUCGUAUGAGAUUCUCUGAAGGGGAAAAGGCAGUACUAGAUCUCUAGACCUUGUGUUUUUAUUAGAGGAAUUACUAGGAAAAGGCCUAGGAUUAAAAUUAUCUCUAUCAGCAUUGUUAUUAAAAUUGUUUCGUGAGAUAAAAAUCACACCCAUGGUAUCACUAUUUUGCUCAAUCAAAGUAGACAAAGGCACAUCAUUAAAAUCAAUAGGAGCAUUUCUAUUAGCAACCAAUUUCAUAAGAGCAUCAAUUUUUUCACUCAAAGAAGAAAUUUCUUCAACCGAAUUAACCAUUUUACUAGUAGGAGCUCUUUCGGUAUGCCAUUGUGAAUAAUUUUUCAUGAUAUUAUCAAGCAAUUUGGUGGCUCCACCCAAAGUAAUUUCCAUAAAAGUACCACCCACGACGGAAUAUAAAAGAUUACGAGAAACAAAAUUCAACCCCGCAUAAAAUUUUUGUAUGAUCAUCCAAAGAUUUAACCCAUGAGUUGGGAAAUUCCUUAGCAUCAAUUUCAUCCUAUCCCAAGAUUAUGCAACAUGCUCAUGUUCAAGUUGCUUGAAAUUCAUGAUCUGAGUUCUAAGGAAAAUAGUUUUCGCGGGAGGAAAAUACUGAGUAAUAAAAUCAUCCUUGCACUUAUCCCAAGAAUCGAUACUAUUGCGAGGCAAAGAAGAAAACCAAAUUUUUGCAUGAUCUCACAAAGAAAACAGAAAUAAUUUCAACUUCACAACAUCAUUGGCCACAUCUUUUUUAUUUUGCAUAUCCCAUAACUCCACGAAUGUGUUAAGAUGGGACGCGGUAUCCUCAUUAGGAGUAUCGGAAAAUUGAUUUUUCAUAACAAGAUUCAGCAAAGCGGUAUUAAUAUCACAAGACUCUGCACUAGUGGCAGGAGGAGCAAUCGGAGUGCUAAUAAAAUUAUUGUUGUUGGUAUUGGAGAAAUCACACAACUUGGUGUUCUCUUGAGUCAUUGUGACUACGCAACAAGAUUGCACUCAAAAACACAUCUGACGAGAAAACAGCGAACGAAAAAGAGGGCGAAUAAAACGGCAAAUUUUUGUGAAGUGGGGGAGAGAAAAAGAGAGGCAAAUGGCAAAUAAUGUAAAUUGCAAGGAGAUGAGAUUUGUGAUUAGGAACCUGGUAGAUGUUGAUGAUGUCUUCCCGGCAAAGGCACCAUAAAUUCCUUUUGAUGAUUGCUUGAACUACGUCGGUAUUUCCUCAAAGAGGAAGGGAUGAUACAGCACAACAACGGUAGGUAUUUCCCUCAGUGAUGAGACCAAAGUUCUCGAACCAGUAGGAGAACCACGCAACACUACGUGAAUGGCACCUGCACACAAAUAACAAAUACUCGCAGCCCGACGUAUUAAAGGGGUUGUCAAUCCCUUUCGGGUAACGACGCCAAAAAUUGGCAAGUGGACGUGAGAAAGUUGUAAUAAAUUGAUAGAUAGAUCGCCAAAUAAAAUAAAGUGCAGCAAGGUAUUUUUGGUUUAAUAGAUCUGAAAAUAAAAGAAAAUAAAAAUAGAUCGUGAAAGGCAAAUAUAAUAAAGAAGAGACCCGGGGGCCGUAGGUUUCACUAGUGGCUUCUCUCGAGAAAAAUAACAAACAGUGGUAAACGAAUUACUGUUGGGUAAUUGAUAGUACUUCAAAUAAUCAUCACAAUAUCCAUGCAAUGAUCAUUAUAUAGGCAUCAUGUCCAAGAUUAGUAGACCGACUCCUGUCUGCAUCUACUACUAUUACUCCACACAUCGACCACUAUCCAGCAUGCAUCUAGUGUAUUAAGUUCAUGGAGAAACAGAGUAAUGCAAUAAGAACGAUGACAUGACGUAGACAAGAUCUAUUUAUGUAAAAAUAUACCUCAUCUUGUUAUCCUUAAUGGCAACGAUACAUACGUGUCGGUUCCCCUUCUGUCACUGGGAUCAAGCACCGUAAGAUCGAACCCAUCACAAAGCACCUCUUCCCAUUGCAAGAUAAAUGGAUCAAGUUGGCCAAACAAAACCCAAAUAUCGGAGAAGAAAUACGAGCCUAUAAGAAAUCAUGCAUAUAAGAGAUCAAAGAAGACUCAAAUAACUUUCAUGGAUAAAAAGAUAGAUUCGAUCAUAAACUCAAAGUUCAUCGGAGCCCAACAAGCACACAGCAAAAAGAGUUACAUCAUAUGGAUCUCCAAGAGACCAAUGUAUCGAGAAUCAAAAGAGAGAGAGAGAGAGAGAGGAAGCUAUCUAGCUACUAACUACGGACCCGUAGGUCUACAAUGAACUACUCAUGCAUCAUCGGAGAGGCACCAAUGGACAUGAUGAACCCCUCCGUGAUGGUGUCUAGAUUGGAUCUAGUGGUUCUCGAACUUGCGGCGGCUGAAAUUGAUUUUCGUCGACUCCCUUAGGGUUUCUGGAAUACUGGGGUAUAUAUAGAGCAAAGAGGUGGUUCAGGAGGCCACCGAGGUGGGCACAACCCACCAGGGCGCGCCCAGGCCUCCAGGCGUGUCCUGGUGUCUUGUGCUCACCUCAGGCUCCCUCUUUGGUACUUCUUUAGCCCACUGGAUGUCUUCUGGUCCAAAACAAAUCCACAAAAAGUAUCGCUGCAUUUGGACUCCGUUUGGUAAUGAUUUCCUACGAUGUAAAAAACAUGCAAAAAACAUCAACUGGCAAUGGGCACUAUGUCAAUAGGCCAGUACCAAAAAAUGAUAUAAAAUAAUUGUAAAACAUCAAAAAAUGAUAAUAUAACAACGUGGAACAAUCAAAAAUUAUAGAUACGUUGAAGACGUAUCAAUCACCCAGACUCCAAAGGGAAAUACUUAAUUAGUAAGCGUUUUCAAAAUUUAACGUAGUCCAAUUGGCACCCUAUAUUUGCAUGAUCCUCUAGUCGGUAAAGAUUUUAGCAUGAGAAAGAUAGACCAUCCAACCCUCACAAUGUGCAUGCAUAUAAAUGUAUGGUAUUAUAAGUAAAGCACCUUGGUAAACCGUAAAUAAGUGUUAAGCAAGAUGUUCAUCCAAGCUUUACCGUCAUGGUCACUCAUUAGAUCUCAUCAUUAUUACCCAGUUGCUCCAGUGAAUAAUUUUUGAAACAUAAUAAGCAAGUGUAACGAGGACCACAAGGAGUUAUAUUCUGCAAGGCAAAAUAACAAUACAAAGAACAAUGAUCUUUUUUGGAUUUUUCGGUUAGCAAAAAUAAAAUAACUUAUAUACAAGAGAGAAGAAAGCGAGUGAAAAGCACUUCAAAAACAAAGAAGAAUCAAAAAUAACAACUGAUAAACCAAACAAUAACCAAGAGAAACCUUUUUGGAAAUUUUGUUUUGUUUUUACACCUGGAUAAAAAGCAAAGAAAAAGACUCAAAAAGAACCAAAGAAACAUCAAGCAGAACUAAGAAUAAAAUUAAGUGAGAAAAGAUAAAAUCAAUUCUUUUUGUAUGUUUGAAAGGAAUAAGAAGAAAGGAGAAAGCAAUAAUAGUAUUUUUUUUCUUAAACAUUUAGAACAACAAGAACAACCAAAUAAACACAAGGAACAUGAAUAUUUUUCUUAUUUCAAAAGAUCAUGAGUCAAACCAAAGAGAACAAGAGAAGAAUGAAUGAAAUGUUUUUGGAAUUUUCUUUUUAAAGAAACAUAAGAAGCAACUAAGAACCAAAUAAUGAAAUAUUUUUGGUAAUUUGUAAGUGCAAGAAUGAAAAGAAAGAAAGCAAAAUUAGUAGCAAUAUAAAUCAUUUUUAUAACGAAACAUGUAGGCUGAAAAAUGAUUAGACCAACAGACUAUCAAACAUUUAAGAAGGGCAUUUUAGGUUCACCGAAUAGAUUGUUUUAGGGUUUUAGCCCUUUAUUUAAUUUUGAGGCUUUUAAAUUCCUCAAUUCAAAUUUCAAUGAACUUAGACAUGAUGCAUGGAUGCUUCUAAAUGCAACUAUUUACACUAUUUGUUCUAGGGUUGUGACACAAACAAAAAGCACAACAAGUUUACCAAAGGAUAAAGUAUAUCAAAGAUGACGAAAAAUGGAGGCAUACGUAUUCCCCCAAGGCCGGCUUUUGUCCAAGGCUUGGCAAUCUCACUGUCUUGGACCAUCGGGUAGUAAAACAGUGCAUGUGGUUGAUAUGCCGCGUGUUGGUCUAGUUCCUCCUCCUCAUAAUACUCUAUCAUGUCUGUGUUAUUCAUGUUCCAUCUUCCCUGGUUUGAACAUGAAAGAAAAUGUGCAAGGAAGUGGCAUAGUCCAAGAGCAAUUGUCUCCGUUAGUAACAAAAGUAUAUACAUAAGGUCCUCUCACAUCUUCAAAAUUUUGAGUAGUAAUGAUUUUUCAAUGCGAGGGCAUCAAAAUAUUCAGAACAUGACGCUUCAUAAUUAUUUGUGGUGUCAAGUGCAUUCAACCGCACACAAAGUGGCAAUAACACCACAACAAAGAUUAUAAUUUUAGCUAUCAGAAAGAGCAUGCAUAGAUAACUCAUAAUUAUCCUUGGCGCUAAACCGAAGGUAAAUGUUGCAUGUAAGAACACGAAGUUCAUGCAUGCUGAUAGCGAGGCGGCAUUUAGGUUGCACAUAAGAAUAUAGUAGGAUAGUAGGUGACGGUUCAUGGUAAACGAGAUGGUGAAGAUCGGAGAGUCCUGAUGUGUUGGCUUUAAGAAUGAAUCAUUUGUACAAUGUUUGCAAUGAUGAGGAAGAGACAAGGGAUAGAGGAUCAUCCUGCCUCAUCGCAUUGCGCCGGAUAUCAAAUUGCCCGAGACGUUGUUCAAACGCCUUUUAAAGACAAAUCCUAUCACGUCACAAGGAUAGGAGAGUCAAAUUUAACUUUGGCAUUUAGGGAGCUAAUUUGGACGAAUUUCGAGCCAAAAACACGAGACUAUUCGUCAAAUAUUUGCUUAUAGGAAACUUUAUUUUUUGAGAAACAACCAAGGAAACAAAUCUUCAAAUCAAAGAAAUAAAAGGGAAGUUUAUAAAAAGAGGGAAGAAAAGAAGAGGCCCAAAAGCAGCCCAUAGAGGCAUUGACACAGCCGUUUGAAAUGAAAGGAAAAAGUCGGAAGAAGAAAGAGGAGAAAAGAAAAGGCGAAACCUCUCCCGCGAGACCGAGAAGAAAAAGCCGGCAGGGCGGGCUGGUGGUGGUGGGAGGCGCGCGCGGGUGGGGUGGGCGUCGUGGGCGGUGGCAGCACAAACAAGCAAACCUUCCAAUUUACUCCUCCCCACCUUCCCAUCCUCCUCCACCUCCUCCUUCCCCCCUUCCCCAAAUCUCAAAAUUCCCGAUUCCCGUCUCAACGAGCCCUCCUGCGCCGUACCAAAGCUCACGAGCACACGCCACGUGAUUCCGAUCCCGCUAGAGGAAUCCCGAGGCUCGGCUCGGCUCUGUCGCCGGCAUGCGGCGGGGCGGCGGCGCUGCGACGGCCGUUGCGGCUGCGGCGGAGGCGGAGGGGGACGCGGGGGCGCGGUUCCGCGGCGUGCGGAAGCGGCCGUGGGGCCGGUACGCGGCGGAGAUCCGCGACCCGGCCAAGAAGGCGCGGGUAUGGCUCGGCACCUUCGACUCCGCCGAGGACGCCGCCCGCGCCUACGACGCCGCUGCGCGCAUGCUGCGCGGGCCCAAGGCCAAGACCAACUUCCCCCUCUCCCUUCCCCACCACCGCCAACUGCCGCCCAGCUACUCGCCCUACCCCGUCGCCGCCGCCGCCGCUGUCCCGACGUCGGUCGCCGCGGCGGCGGCCAGGCCAGCCUGCAGCAGCCUGAGCUCCACCGUCGAGUCCUUCGGCGGCCCGCGGGCGCGGCCGGUGCUCCCGCCGCGGCCUCCGCCGCCGCCGAUCCUCGACGGCGACUGCCAUAGCGACUGCGGGUCCUCGGCCUCGGUGGUGGACGACGACUGCGCGGACGCCGCCGCCUCGCCGUCCUGCGGUCUCCUGCUCCCGUUCGACCUCAACCUGCCCCCGGAGUUUGGCGGCGUUGCAUGUAACGACGACGACGAGCUGAAGCUGACGGCGCUGCGGCUCUGAAGUCAGAACCACCCGGUGGUGGUUAGAGAAAAAGGAUAAGGAGAAAAAUAUUUGGUUCUUCCCUUCUCUCCAUAGCCAGCACGAUCCACCUCCACGCUGUUGUUGCUGUUGCUGUUUACGUGAUCUGAUGAUGAUUAAUAUGGCCUGAUCUACGAAUCGGCCUGCUUGUUGCCGCUGGUAGCGGUGAUUAUUGCCGACUACUGCCGGCAGCUCGCCGUGGUUGUUGUAAUAUAGCAACAUUUUACUUGCUUCCUCUUGUGUGGAAGUAGACACCUAAAGUAACUUAUUUUCUUUUGUAGCCACAUGUGUUACUGUUACUCAUUUAGGCUCAUUUGCUUCGAAUUGAGAACAAUGGAAAACAAAGUUUUGUUUAUGAGAAUGAUACUGGGUGCUUAAAUGCUAGAAAAUUCGAGCUAAAAGUUGUUGUGUUAGAGGGAUGACCUUGAUCUUAAUUUCAACCUUGGUACAACCUUCUACCUGAAUACCCCCAUUAUUCUUCGAGUACUGUAAAUAGACUAACCUUACUAUGGUUCUCAUAAUGCUUAUGUUGCUAACAUGUGAUUUAUUCUGACAUGUAGUUUUGGUUCUUAAAUCAAGUCUCACACUGAUGUAGAUGUCUGUCAUAGAACGAAGAGAAGUUUACUUUGGCUGCUCAAGAUGAUGGGAUGUUUGUCCUAUUCUAAUUCAUAUAAAGUAAGUUCACAAACUAAUUUGUUGUGGACACCUUCAGCUAUGAUUAAUGCAUUUGGCAUAAUUUAGGCUGAAUCAUUAGCAUGUAUAAUUGGGCAUACUCCUGAGCUGAAAUCAACAGACAACACAACUGAUCAUGAUGACACAAGAUGCUAACAAGAUUAGUUCUGACAAUUAGCAAAGUUAUAUGCUAACAGCAAACUGUUAUCGAGUAACAUGAAAGUAAAAGGAUUUUGAAUAUACUCUUGUAUCCGUAGAUUUUUCGUUUCUGUUUGAUGUAUGCUAACGAGAUUAUAUUCGAUUGCUAAUUGGUUGUGAGGCCUACCCAAAAACCUCACAUUUCUUGGCAGUUGCAUAUGGCUGGCGCAGCAAUGGUGAUCUACUGAUCCUAUUAUGUAUAUCUUGUUACAUUCAUGUGAACAAAUAUCUAUCUACUUAGAGCGUUAUUUGUAAUUGAAGGAUAGAAGGAACUUUUAUUAGCUUAAGCCUACCCACAAACCUCACAUUUCUUGCAACUUCCAUAUGGCUGGCGCAGCAAUGGUGAUCCACUGAUCCUAUUAUGUAUAUCUUUGUUACAUUCAUAUGAGCAUACAUCUAUCUACUCAGGGCUUUAUUUAUAAUUAGAGAAUAGAAGGAACUUUUAUUAGCUUAAUAAUCACAUUGUCUUUGUUGUACAGUAAUUUAUUUGUAUGUGGUGACAGAGUUCCACAUGAAUAGUAUUUUGACUACCGUAUUACAUGCAUAGCACUCUGUGAUAUUACCAUUAGGAUAAGUUGAUUUUGUUAUGGAAGACAUCUGGAACUCCACGUUCUUUUGGAUAUUCCAGUUUCCUGUUUUUUGCAUCCAUCAGGACAAAUUGGAUGACCAUUCAGAUGGUAAAUUUAUGAUAGCAGGUGCAUUGGGUUUGCCUAUGAAUAUGUGCUUGGAUACAUACAAGAAUGCACUGCAUCCUUUCCCUUAGUAACCGUGUUGAUGUUUUAGUUGACGUGGAAUUUUUUCCGGGUGUCUUCUAGGAAACAUGCUCUGCAAUUUUUUAUCAUAACAUAUCUGAUUAUGCAAGCGGUUGAUUGUUAUUCACAAAUAAUUUUCAUGCUAUUCUCCUAAGCAGCAGUGACGGACCAUGGCGCGCCGCACUCGAGCAAUGUUGCUCAGUUGCUAAGUAUGUGCUUCUGGUCUUUCUCCAGUCAUAUACUUUCUACAGUUGAUGCUUAUAAGGUGGAUUGAAAUUCCUUAUCGUGCUAUUAGUUUGGCAAAUUCUAUGGUAUCAUGAAAUUUACAUUAUUACGUGUUGUCAUGCGAUUUGGCCUUGUCGCAUGUCGCAUCACGUCUUUAAAGUACUGUAUUUAUGAACAGGCAUUAAGAAAAUAAUUCAGAAUCAUGUGAGACACCUCCCGAUAUGCGCAACAUUAUAUGGUUAUUACUCCUAUAUCGGAAGCUUUGGGGUUCCAAUGGCAAAAUAUUUACAGUGCACUGUCAUUCCUUCAUGUUUGGUACAUUCAGCAAGGGAUACUUACCUAACCAACCUCAAGUAUUGGAGAAAGGUGAUGUUUUGAAGUCAGCAGCUUCGUGAAUUACUCUAACCAAGUAGCAGUGCCAGCAACAAAGCAGUGGACAUCUGUUGCAUCUUGGGAGUGAUCUGUGCCUGGACAGCAGGGUUUGGAGCCAACUAAGGUACAUGUGGGAUGUUGCCAAUUUGUGAGUGCUUCUUUUCUAGCUGUCAACAAUUGCACAAAGGCUAUUUAUUUUUAGUUGUGAACACGGUACUCUAAUAUGCUAACGCUGUUGAGCGAUGUUUAAUUCUCUAAAAAUGGGGUGUCGUUAGGAAUAUAGUAUCUGGAGAUAUGGUUGGAUUGAUUUGCUUAUUUGCUAUACUGUUAGUACUUCGCAGCACAAUCCCCUGUUAGCCGGACUGCCACAAUAUACUUUAGGACAUCAGGGCGCAUCCUAAUAUCACUGACAUUCUAGCAGGCACACUGCUAGUUACAAUGGUAGCCAGAACUAUUUUUUACUGCCAGAUUCAAGUUCACUUAUAACCAAUUCUAGGAGGACGGCGAAAACCUUCAGACAAUCAAUUUCCUAACAUCUUGUUGUUAAUUACAAACAACCGAACAACCAAAAACCGUUACCUUGAAUCAUCUCUCUUGUGGCAGGAGUACCUAUCGGGAGGAGGACCGGAUGCAUAACAAGAAAAGAAAGAAUAGUAGUGGUGCAUGCGUGCAAACAAUCUAUAGAACCGAGCUCUUGUAAAGCUGAGUGUUCCUACGCUCAAAGCCCAUAUCUCAGAUGCAUGCCCAUUGGUAUAGCCCAUCACCAGGAUGAAAUUAUUCAUUUAGUGCAGUUCCCCUUUCCUCUCUUAUUCCAACUUCACAUCCUAACCACCAAAAGGAAGGGAGAAGCAAACUCGACCUGGUGUCUUUUGAUCAUUUUAUUGAUGCGAUUUUCAGUGAAAGCGGAGAUACGGCAAGUGUGAAGAGUCAACUAUUGCCCUAUAUGUCUCUAUCCUAAAUUAACACUUGAUGAGGAUUACUCAAGCAAAGUAUACCAUGUCAUUCUCAUUUUCUCAUAUCAGUUUCUAUUUGAUUGUAGAAUUAAGGAAAAAAGUGCAAUGUAGAAUAUCUGGUAGGCUAUAAUUAAAAACCAAAAUUUCAUACUGUUGCCGAGUUACUGUUGAUGCGAUGAAUAUGAUGUUAUUCCCUUGGGAUUAAGUUUCUUGAGAAAACACUAAAAAUCCGGUGACCUCUGUAUCUGGCUCAUCUCAAUCUUGUCAUUCAGAAGACUUGUAAAUUUGUAAUAAUUAUUAUUUGGAUCAUGCUUGAUACUCCACAGUAAUUUUGCUCAGAGGCUCUGGGUUAUCCAUACAUAUUACUUCUCACCCCGUGCAAAUUUCUUGGGUGCAUGUGCUCACAUGCCUGCUCUUAUUUUCUCUUGGGGGCAUCUACGUUCUCUCUCCAAUCUAAAUCUCUCGGGGCAUGCAAUGAUUGCUGGUCUCACAUGCAUCUUAUUUGUGUAUAAUUUGAUCUACUACUAUUGUUGAUGGCACUUGUUCUACUACUAUUAGUUUGUACUCCCUCCGUUUUUAUUUACUCCGCAUAUUAGCUUUGGUCAAAGUCAAAACUUUGUAAAUUUUGACGAAGUUUAUAGACAAAAAUAUUAACAUAAACAAUAACAAAUCAAUACCAUUAUAUUCAUUAUUGAAUACACUUUCACAUCAUAUAGAUUUGCUAUUGUAAAUGUUCAUAUAUUUUCUCUAUAGAUUUGGUCAAACUUUAUGAAGUUUAACUUUAGUCAAAUCUAAUGCAGAGUAAAUAAAAAUGGAGAGACUAGUACUUUGAUUUCCAUGUUCAUUGUUGUCGAACGAUGCCCGCCAUGUUAUUUCAAAAUACGUUAGAUCUAUUUUUUAUUCCAAAACGUAAAGUUAGCAGCUGGUAGUACUACUUGAUAGCCACCAAAGGUGCCCCAAAUUUUGCGCGCACAGCAGCACCAUUUCCCGUGAUAAUAUGUACGCUUGUGCAGGGUUAGCGGGCACUACUAACUAAUAUUGACCUCUUAUCGCAGCAUCUGCUCCGACAUUGCUGCCAUUAAUCUACAAAAAUGGUGAUCUUUUGAUUAGAUUCUUUCUUCUUGACUAAAUUAUUGGUCUGCUCCUUUGUUUCAGCUGCCCCCAGAUCCUGCGCGCUCGGUGUCUGCUGAUGAGCAUGCAAGGCAAGGGUCUCCCAUGUGAUGUGCCUGAUGCCGCGCACAAUUCCGUGUGCUAAUCGGCUGACAGAGACGGUGGCGAUCGUGCUUGUGGAUUGCAGGGCUGGACUCGUUUCUGGGCGCAAUAAAGCUUUGGUCAUGGCGCCGUUUCCAGCCCAUGUUGAGGUUCUCGGUGCCCCCGCGGUGCGUCUUUCUUCUCUCCAUCGUCCGUCUCUCCCUUUCCGAUUGGGUCGCCAUUAAUGCGUCAGCUGUUUGAUGAAAUGUGAGCCAGCUAAUCGCGGGCCUCUGCACGCUGUGCUGGCUGCAGUUUUGCUGUGCCGAAAGGGGUACCGCUCUGUUGCUUACUUUGUUUGUACAUAAAUUUCUCGACGGUUCGUUUACGUCUUCCUUUAUUUCUGCUUGUUUGUUAUGCACCGGUGCUUAGUGCAUCUAUAGCCGGACUGGGCAAAUUUGGCACCCAAACGUCACGAAAGCGUCUGGUCUGUGUCCGGACAUAUCCGUUUUGACUUCCUAUUUGUCCGUCCACGUUGUGAUUAGUGAAGGAAAGAGAGAAAGAAAAAAAAAAGAUGCUCCUUGGUGGGGCCAAAUCCUAUCUAGCGGACACAGUACCACUGACCGGACACGGCCGACACUUUUCAUAGUCAUCUCAUAUAUGAGGGACACAGUACCACUGACCGGACACACCCGACACUUUUCAUAGUCAUCUCAUAUAUGAGGGUAAUAUGAGGAGGGCGGAGGCUUUGAGGGGUAUGGUUGUGUUAACUUUUUUUUCUUUCUCUUGUCCAGUCAGUGGUCUUGUAUCCGCUGGUUAAUUUAAGGAGUCUGGCUGUAGAUGCUCUUGUCAAUACGCUGGAAGUAUGAUGCGUGUUGUGGAGAAGCGUUUGUUGAAGCUUAGGUGUGUCUUGAGGAAGUUCUGAUCUAUCUAAUUCUUGCCCCCAUUCGUCCUUUCUCCACAGUAGUAAGCAAGCUACGGUUGGUCUGAGUGAUCAAUUCCAUCUACCACAAACUUGUUGCUGUUAUGUACAGCUCAUAUGGUACUAAACAAAACAUAGAAGCCAGAACAGAUUUGGUCGACAACAGAUACGAUGUCAGCUGCGAACCUGAAAGAAAAUUCUCUGAGGAACAACGCAACAGAGAUCCUACAAUAACAAAGUAAAUGGCGUAUGGGUAGAUGAUUGCGAUUUGUUUUCCUGCCUUGACCAGGUCAACCCAUUUGAGGAAGGAUGGUAUAAUGGCAACUUGGCGAGAAGGAUUCAUUUAAGAAGCGGCCAUGGCCGCAACAACCACCGUCCUCUCCCCUCCCCUGUGGUUAAGUUAGGUGGGAGAUUAGGUUUUUAAGCUUUGAGCCGUUCCUUUGGCUCCAUCCUCCUUUCCAGUCCAUAAAAAGCACAGCACAUUCCAACUGCCACCUUGCUCCGCCGCGUUCCGUCGCCUCACAGCUGUGUGUGCUGCCCCGUGAACUCUUCUGUUCCGUUGUGCGCUUCCCUUUAAUUAGGCCGCUGUCAGCUCCAGCAGGCUUCUGAAACUCCAAUCAUAAGAACCACCCUGCCCCUUCCAUCGCUCCUGCCUGCCUCCCUUCCGGCUCUCUCUCUCCUCCUCGUUUCCUCUCGUCAAUUGUGAUCGAGAGGGCAGCGAUAGAGAAGAAGGGCGGGGAGGAGAAACAAGGAUCGCCCAAGAGGUUCUUUCUGAUCAGUUCAUCGCCAGGCAUCAUCAUCGUCAUCAUCAUCAUUAUUUCUUAAUGGCCGUGAGUACCUAUCUCACUACGCUUACAUCUCCUCUUUUGUGGUUACCGAUGCUUUACUACUGUCUACUCAGUGCAUGCAUGCACGCAUGAUUUCGACACUGUUAUGGCCGCUUGAUCAUGUAUUUGUUUUGUUUUUAUAAUUUUGGCUCAUGAUUGCUGCGUCUGCGUAAUGGUUUCUCUAUAUAUUUUUCAAGCACUCUGUAGUACACGUAUGGCCGUAUGGAAUUGACCAUGGUUGGGUGGGUGUGGAACGAUGAUGGAUCAUGGGGCGGUGCCGCCGUCCCCAUGUGCGAGCAUCAAGUUGGCAACACAUGGUUAUUGUUAGGCAGCGGCAGCAGACAAGGAGUUAGGGCUCACGGAUCUGGGCAUGAUAUGGAGGGCUCCGGCACAUGGCAUGCUCCGUCCUCAGAUCCAUCCAACAUGAUCGCUCUCAUCCUCGAGCACAAGGAUUCUUCAGAAUGGGGAAAAGGAGGCCGAGCUUUUGCUUUGCUUGGGAUGGACGAUUGAGUGUUUAGAAUUAGACGUCCAAGCCACUCCUCUCUCUCAUGCCUACUAUCCGGUGCAUUUGGCACUGCCCGGUCUAGUUUGGUGUUCAUUACCCGCUAGCUAGCUGUCGUUGGGUUUGACAUAUCUGUAAUGUGACAGCUGACGACGCGAGCAGCAGCACCAGCAUGGUGUUGGUUUUGCUUUCCGACGACGUGUACGUUGGCUGGCCUUAGCUGGGAGCUUGCUGACAUACAUACGUGUCAUACCUAAUUUUUCCUCCUCAUCUUUAAGCGCCGCUAAUUACAACCUGGAACUUAUUAAGGUUCGACCUGGUCUGAAUUUUUAAGCAACGAGAAAAUGUCUAAAGAAACAGCUCAGGACUUUGUAAAAUUAUAGGGACUGUCUAUUCUACAUCCGGAUGAAAUUUAAUUCGCUUUCAUUCAUAUUUUUCAGUCAACUAAAGGAUGACAAAUGUCACAUGUCUCGUGUCCUCUAUUCCCCUAUUCUUUCUGCCCACCAAACUAUAAACGGGUCCACACCCUAAACCUGUACAGAAAGCAGCUAAAAGCUAACAAAAGGUGGACUAAGCUAACUACAGGAGGAUGAAAAGGAUCAAAACUGAUGACAUCUAACCACACAGCGCCGAAUAACACUCUGAGCACUAAAAUACUGAGAAAUUACAGUUGCUGAUGCUGUGAAUCAACUAUACAAAGGGCUAAAAUACCACUAAUAAUUAUAGUGUAAAAACCACAGAAAAUGCACAGUAAUCCACUAAAAAUCCAUUGCAAUUCCACUAAAAAUGCCACUUGCAAAUACAGAGCAAAAAUCCACUAAAAAUACAAUGUAAACCCACUAAGAUUUACACUGUAAAUUCCACUGCAAUUCGACUAAUAAUUACAGUGUAAAAACCACUGCAAAUGCACAGUAAUUCCACUAAAAAUGCCACUUGCAAAUACAGAGCAAAAAUCAACUAAAAAUACACUGUAAACCCACUAAGAUUUACAGUGUAAAUUCCACUGUAAUUCCACUAACAAUUACAGUGUAAAAACCACUGAAAAUGCACCGUAAUUCCACUAAAAAUACACUGUAAUUCCACUAAAAGUACAAUGUAAUUCCACUAGAAACACACAAAAGAAUUACAUUACAAUUCCACUGAGAAAGUACCAAAUUUAUCCCUGGAGAAGCGCCACCAGAGAGAGCGAUUCAUCCAUGAUCUAGAACACAAACAUGGNNNNNNNNNNNNNNNNNNNNNNNNNNNNNNNNNNNNNNNNNNNNNNNNNNNNNNNNNNNNNNNNNNNNNNNNNNNNNNNNNNNNNNNNNNNNNNNNNNNNNNNNNNNNNNNNNNNNNNNNNNNNNNNNNNNNNNNNNNNNNNNNNNNNNNNNNNNNNNNNNNNNNNNNNNNNNNNNNNNNNNNNNNNNNNNNNNNNNNNNNNNNNNNNNNNNNNNNNNNNNNNNNNNNNNNNNNNNNNNNNNNNNNNNNNNNNNNNNNNNNNNNNNNNNNNNNNNNNNNNNNNNNNNNNNNNNNNNNNNNNNNNNNNNNNNNNNNNNNAACACCACCCCUCCUGUGCAUUCAUCACCUCCUGUCGUCUCUCUCUUGCCGGAACAAAUCUGGAAGAAAGAACAUACCUGUAGUGGAUCAUCAACAUAGGCUAAGUUAAGCCAAAAUCUACACAGAUCGAAAAUAGGAACAAAAUCACGCAAAAGCAUGAGCCAAGAGAAACCCUAGGAAGAACUAGGAUAUGGUCGCAUGAACUAGUAGUCUAUGAUCACAGGAAAACUGAAAACUAGAUGCCCAGAUCAUAUUUUUGAAUUUGCAGAAAUAAACACACAACAGGGAUCAAAACAUGCUCAGGAAGCUAGCAAUUCCAUUUUGGGAAAACUAGUUAAAAACAUGCAAGGGGGAGGAUUGCUCCAGUUGAGAGAAAAUAUGGCUAUUUUCACAGACUUUGGAAACUGAAAGACCAAACACUGUUAAGAGACUUUGAUCUGCUAGUUUUAGACACUUUCUACUUGUUCUUAAAAACUACUCUGUACCUGUGAUUGAAGGACUGAAUUUAAGUAACUUUGGAAGUGUAAACUGCUAUGAUCUGAUGCUUGCUUACACUGAAUAUUGAUAGGCAUUAACAUAAGCACUAAAAAUUGAAAUUAACAGAAAAAUGACAAACAAAAAUCAGGCUAAAAACAUUCACGCUAGAAGGCACUCACACUAGUAGCAACAAACAAAACUGAUAACAUAUUUACAGUUCAGAACUGAAAGGACAAAUUUGUGACUGUUAGAUAAAAUUACUGGGACCUUCUUUGCAAAAUUACUCUGCGUUUAUUUACAGUUCAGAACUGAAUACUUGUUCGCAUUAAGAGAUAAUUUACUCAAAAUAUUGAGUGCAGGUGCCUACAAUCGAACCAAAUGCAAUGAAAUGCAGCAUCAAAGGACAGGCGAUGUACCUCAAGAAAGAUGAAGUUGAUUUCCUUAACAUAUGGCUAUCUAAUAGCAGAAAACAAUCCUGAAAACAAAAAACAUUAUCGAAAACAUGCUUUCUCUAACUAGUUUCCUGACAAAUAACAAAGUGGAUCAUACUCUUUUACUGAGCUACUUCAGGCGCAAAUGAUGUACAAGGCGUAGCUGCAUUGCAAAAAUACAUAGAAAACUAAAAUAGAGAAAAUCUACCGACACUAUUCAUCGGCUAAUGAUAUAACAUUGAUUUACUUUGUGCAGCAACAAUAUGUGGAGCCUGAGCCUGACAUGACAAACUACAUGGAAUGGCAUAGUACUGACCAGAACAAUGAAUUCAAAUAUGCAGAAACACCUCCUAACACCAACGGGGAAGAGAAAAACGGUAAGCAUACAAAGCAUACAAUAAAACUCGAACCUAGCAACUGUAGGUACACAAAAUAAAGCAAUUAUAUUGUGUUGCUUGCAGGCACAAAAAUGAUUUAAUUACAUUUGAAGUGGGUGCAGGGGCAUAUAAUAAAAAUCACAGUAAAAUAUAGCUGUAACAUUUAAACCUACUUCAAUUAGAAUUGUAUUACAGAAGAUUAACUAAAGAGCCUAACAAAUAAAAAACUAUCCAAAACACGCUGAAAAAAACAAACAGAAACUAACAUUAGCAUCAAGCAAGAAUACAUACAUAACUGGUAAAAACUAAUUUACUCCAAAUUACACUACAAUACAGCUAAAAUUACACCAACGAAUGCACUGUGAAUUCAUAUACAAGCCACAAUAAAAAUAAACAUUACAAGAAACUAAGAAAUGGUGGAGAAAAUCAUGACACUACGACAUGCUCAGGACAAUAUACUAUCCGCACCAACGGGGACAACGAAAACACAAAGCAACUGAAUCUCUAGUUCCUAAAAUGACAUAUCCAAACUUGAGAAAAUCAAAGCACACAUACAGGGCAGAGCGAUCUUACAUCAAGCUACAACUGAAGGAUGCAAAAUCCAAUGCCGAACUAGCGCAUGUAGCUAAAAAAGGGGAAAAGCAUGAACACUUACAUGCUAAAAAUGGGAAUUACAUACCAAAUCCACUAAGAAUUACAGUGUAAAUUCACUAAGAAUUACACUGUAAACCCCCUAGGAAUUACACUAUAGAAUCUACUAGGAAUUACACUGUAAAAUCCAGUGAGAACUACAGUGUAAAUCCAUUGGGAAUUAGAGUGAAAAUCCGUUGAGAAUUACAGUGUGAAUCCACUAGGAUUACUAGAUUACAUUCAAAAAGAUUAGAUGCAAUCACUGUUGUUACACUAUAGUAAUUACACUAAAAAGAUAAAGUAAUUACACUACGAAAUCCACUAAGAAUUACCAGACUACAAUAAAAAAGAUAUCAGAUCACAUAACGGAUAUGCCGUUAGUUACAGCGGCACCAGAUAAUGAGGACAUUCAGUGCAAUAUCACAGUCCCAAUCUCCUUGUUAAUUGUGAUUUGCAGUUCCAGUAGCAACAUAAAUGCCCAAGUUAGGACAGAGAUCACACUUAGUCCCAAAAUUGUGAUGUUCAGAUCCCAAAAUGGCCAGACAUGACACAUUCAGAAGUACAAGAGCACAAAACCUGCCCAACUCACACACCUAGAACAAUCAAAACAGAUCAAAAUGACCAUCUGCGCUCACCCAACCUAAACACAAACAAAUCCAAAAUUUGUACAGAAAAACCCUAAUCUGACUCUCACAUGGCAGACAGAAUUUAGAUGGAAAAUUCACUCCUAAACAGUAGAUCAAUGGAAAUUUUAUAACAUAGAGUAGUAAGUUACAAGGUUAAAUUCACAUUAAAAUUAGAUUAUAAGUACACUGAUAUUCAGUUUAAUGUAGUGUGCUGGAAAAAGUGGAAAAAUUCAGAGUAGACCACUGUAACUUACACAUUCCUGAAAUUACAAGCCAAUGGAACAAAACACUCAAAAAUUGCAGUGUAAGGUAGACUAAUAAAAGACUGAAACUACAGGCCAAAUCACCGUUACUUAUCUGAAAUAUUCAGUCCACAUCACUGUCCAAUUAACUCAAAGUUACAGUCCAAAUCACUAACCAAAACACUAUAAAUUACAGUCCAAAUCAUUGUUACUUAACUGAAAAAAUUAAAUCACAUCACUGUCCAAUUCACAAGUUACAGUCCAAAUCACUACCCAAAACACUGAAAAUUGAAGUCCAAAUCAAUGUUACUUAACUGGAAAAAUUCAGGACACAUCACUGUCCAAUUCAUUCACAGUUACAGUCCAAAUCACUAACCAAAACCACUAAAAAUUACAGUCCAAAAUCAUUGCUACUAAACUGAAUAAAUUGAGUCCACCAAUUACACAUCACGAAACUUAACCCACCAAUCCCAGCCAUCUACAUCAAAACACAGACCAGACGAACAACAGCCUACCAAACUAGCAGACGCCGAAGGGAUAAGUGUACUUCUAGUCUAAUUUUAACAUGAAUAUCAGUGAUCUACUCAAGGAACAACACAAACCACAUACAUCUACAAAAAAUAUCUGCGGGUAACACAUGCAACUACCACAAACAACAAGAUCCGGCCGAGAAAACUCUACACGUGGCUAACAAACAGAUCUGGGAAUGGCACAAAUCGACGAGAAUACCGAAUCAGAGGAACGGAAGCGCUCGCAGGAAAAAAAUAGGAGGCGCGGUNNNNNNNNNNNNNNNNNNNNNNNNNNNNNNNNNNNNNNNNNNNNNNNNNNNNNNNNNNNNNNNNNNNNNNNNNNNNNNNNNNNNNNNNNNNNNNNNNNNNNNNNNNNNNNNNNNNNNNNNNNNNNNNNNNNNNNNNNNNNNNNNNNNNNNNNNNNNNNNNNNNNNNNNNNNNNNNNNNNNNNNNNNNNNNNNNNNNNNNNNNNNNNNNNNNNNNNNNNNNNNNNNNNNNNNNNNNNNNNNNNNNNNNNNNNNNNNNNNNNNNNNNNNNNNNNNNNNNNNNNNNNNNNNNNNNNNNNNNNNNNNNNNNNNNNNNNNNNNNNNNNNNNNNNNNNNNNNNNNNNNNNNNNNNNNNNNNNNNNNNNNNNNNNNNNNNNNNNNNNNNNNNNNNNNNNNNNNNNNNNNNNNNNNNNNNNNNNNNNNNNNNNNNNNNNNNNNNNNNNNNNNNNNNNNNNNNNNNNNNNNNNNNNNNNNNNNNNNNNNNNNNNNNNNNNNNNNNNNNNNNNNNNNNNNNNNNNNNNNNNNNNNNNNNNNNNNNNNNNNNNNNNNNNNNNNNNNNNNNNNACGGAGGGGGCGGGGCAGCCAGACGCCGGACCACCACUGUACUGUAUCGGGCGGCGAGGAGAGCUCCAAAUCGCCAUGACUGUCUCUCCCUCACUCUGUUCUACUAGUUGCGUCUGUGAAAUGAGAAGGGGAAACGAGGAGGAGGAACCCAACUAUGCGGGCGAUUUGCGGGCGACAGCAAAGGAAGCGUAUCGGGUCUCCAGGAAAUUAAGCGGGCCUGAUAAGAAAAAAUGGCAACAGUGGGACAAAAAAAACACGAAUCACGGCACAUAGAUCGCACGGCUAAAAAAACGGAUGAAAGCCAAUUGAAUUCAGCCGGAUGAAAAAUAGCAAAACCGAAAUUAUAUGUCGCGUUUUAAAGAUUUGG
This 54804-nucleotide long non-coding RNA is filed under the name Triticum aestivum (bread wheat). RNAcentral describes it as "long non-coding RNA (TAES_LNC010133)". Lineage: Eukaryota; Viridiplantae; Streptophyta; Magnoliopsida; Poales; Poaceae. The record is from RNAcentral.